This 87364-nucleotide long non-coding RNA is filed under the name Citrus x clementina. RNAcentral describes it as "Citrus clementina (C. clementina) long non-coding RNA (CCLE_LNC002532)". The stretch from base 12919 to 13022 matches the Rfam family "Plant small nucleolar RNA R71". The record is from RNAcentral. Lineage: Eukaryota; Viridiplantae; Streptophyta; Magnoliopsida; Sapindales; Rutaceae.
GGUUUUCUUGAGACAUCAUUGCAUUAACAACCAAGUAUUACUUUUAUUGUAAAUAUACAAAAUGGCACUGACCACUUAUACCUUCUAGGACAAAUUACUCCCAGCAUUAAUUUUUACUAGUCACAGGCUUGUAGCUUCAUCCUCGAGGAAGACAUAAUUGAGAGCUACUUUCGACUAAUUUAUUAGAGGAUCACAGCUUCAUCUUUCCUCCAGAUAAUGGAUGCCUUCAAAAGCCCUAGACCUGAAAUAAACCAUUCUAUUAAGAAAUAAUCAUAGUUAAUUCAUUUUGUAAUCAUGUAUCGUAAUUUGCAAAAGUAAAAAGCUAAAAACGUUCAUCUUGGUUUCCUAAUUAAUUCAAUCCAGUUAAGAACCUAGCAUAACCUUUCGAAUUACAAGGAUAAUUAACUUAAUGAAUUUGUUUAUGAAAUCAAAGUUUAUUAAUUUUAGGAGAAAAAAUAAGAGGAUACAGAACAAAAAAUAAUUAAUAAGAUAUAAGUUUUCUCUGAUGAGGAUAUGCUCAUUUUAAUAAAGUGAGAAUGUUACUAACGGAUUAAAAAAAACACAAAUUUUAAGGCAUUAACAAAUAAAAAAUAAUAAUUUCUGAUGUAAUAAAAUCUAUUUUGUUUUUAUAUAUAUUAGUCUUAUUCUCAUUUUGUUUAUUCUCAUUUUAACAAAAUGAGAAUAUCCUCAUUAGAGAAGAAAUACACACUCGGAGAAACACACAAACACACGUAUAAAUAGUCAUACAAACAUUCUAUUAAGUCAUAUGAUUUAAUAGAGUUAGGGUAGAUAUAUUAUUCAACCAUAUGGCUUUAUAGUGAACUGAACAUUGUCUUUAUUGAACCAUGCAACUUAAUAUCAUAUCUGCAUAAAAGAAAAAUGGGAGUGCCUGCACAUGAGAAUUUCUAGUUAAGGCAUUCUCAUUUUAUUAAAGUGAGGAUGUUAAUAAAAAACAAAAAAAUAUGGAUCUCAAUACAUUAAAAUACAAAAAAAUAUAGUUUUCACUAAAAUAUGUAUUUUUUUUUGUAUUUUAGUAAUAUUCUCACUUUAACAAAGUGAAGAUGUCUUCAUUAGAGGACUAUACAUAACAACAACAACAAUAAUAAUAAGGGAUCUAUUUUCAGCUAUAUUGGAGACUGGAGAGUACUUUUUUUUUUUUUUUGUCUUUUACCUUGUCAUUUACUUUAUUAAAUAAGGAAUUCCUUUAUUGUAAAAUGUUCACACACACACACACACACUUAUAUAUGAGUACUAAUCUAGUCUAAGAUCACGGAUUGUAUUAAAGUCUAGAAAAUAUAGCUUUUGGACUUUAUUAAACUAUAAGAAAGCUAUUACACCAUAUUACAUAAUAGCAUUACAUUAUUAUGCCAUAUGUUGUUACAGCUUUCCCGAACUUUAAUAAAGUUAAGAAUUCUAGAUCAGUUUAGUACUAUAUAUCAACUAUUUAACUUAAAAAGAAUGACGGUGAAUAACUUUUGGGACCCAUUCACCUCAUAAUAUAAAAUCACUAUAAAGAAGUGAUACAAGGCAUAUUGGAGGGAUAAAAAAUAGUUACACUUAAAAUCGAGAAUCCUUAGAAAAUGUAUAACAUUUGUGAUGAUUACUAAAACUAGCAUUUAUUAUUAUAUGACGAUUACUUUCGUUUCAAAUGACAAGUAAUAUAGUCUCACUUUAUUUUUAACCACAAUAUAUUUUAUUAUUUGAUGACUAUUUAUAUCAUAUAAGAAAAGUUAAUGUGACUACUCUAAAUUGUUGUUAAAAGAAAACAUUCACGACGAUAUAUUGUACCCACAUAAAUUGAUAUCUAGUGAUUAAAAAUUUCAGUUCAGAAAAUGUUAUUCCAUGACAAUUACUUUUGUUUCAAAUGAUAAGCAAUAUUACCUCACAUUAUUUUUCAGGACAAUGUAUUUUGCCAUGUUGCAACUAGUUACAUUGUAUGAGAAAAGUUUUUGAGACAAUUAAACACAAAUGCAGUCGUUGAUAAAUAAACUAACAAAAUGAGUCUAACAUUAAAAAAGAUUUUAAAAUAUUUAAUCCAAAAAAAUUAAAAUACAAUGCAUGACAUUGAAAUCCAAAUAAAUAUGAUUCUUUACAAAGAAAUGUAAAUAUAAAAGUCAUAAAUCAUGGUCAACAACCUAACAAUAAGAUUCCGUUGUACGUGAAUUUGGAAAGAUCUUACUGGGAUUGAGAAUCAAAUAAUGCAAGAGCCAUAUUUCAAGCCACAAAAGUUCCAUAGACCAAAGUCUAAAAUACCUUAUGAUAUUAGCUUUAUGACAAAAAAAAAAAAGGUUAAGAGGCUAUUAUAAAGACGAUAUCAAGCAUUAUUUCCCAAACUUCAUAAUGGGAUGGAUGAGAUGAAGUAAAUCAAUAACCUGAUGCUGAUGAUCAAAAUUACUAGGGAUGCAUUCUUAAUGUAGGUUUGCCAGUACUUUAAAAUUCAAAUUGCAAAGUGUGGAAAUUUAGCACAAGUGAGGUCAAACUUUUGUCAUAUCCUAAUUGUAUCUUCUUUUAUUUUCCGAUCAAAAGAUUUAAGUAAUCAAGCUAAUAUGUGAUGGUAAGCAUGAAUUUGAUACCUCUCAGCAAGUUUCUCAUCUCUAAUCACAUCUAGCAAGGCAAUAGACACUGUAGUAGCCAAAGGAUUUCCAUCGAAGGUGCUGACAAUAAACAUAAACAAGAGCAUGGUGAGCUAUAGUAAAAUAAGUCUGCACAACAACUAAACAAAAGGGACAAAUAGAUCAAUAAAUAAAUCAUGAAAAUAUAUGGUUGUUCAUGAAUUAGGAAAAGACAAUAAACUCAAAGGAAAUACACAAACUGAGAGCAACAUAAUGAAAUAUAUCAAAGCAAGAAUCAUAGCUUCUCUAACAGAAGAUUGCAAAAGAUAGUAUUAAGACAGUGGCCUCACAACUCAACAUGGUGUAAUCUUUUGGAGGUUCUUUAGCAACUUUCUUCUCAUUAUCAGUGUUGUGCAAAUUUUAUUGAACUCUCAAGUGCACAAAUCUAUUGUAGAAUAGAUUAAUGGUGACGAGUGUCGAUCCCAUGAGCAGGUAGAUUUUAAUUGUGUGUAGAAUUAAUUUUCUAAAUGGGUGGAUGGUUUUGUUGGUGAAAAUGAUUUGGAGUAUUCUAAACUUUAAAUUGGAAUGACGAAAUUAAAUUUAAAGUGAAAACUAUUAUAAUUGAAGCGCUUGGGUAUUUGGAUCUGCAUCAACAUCCACCAUGGGCUAAAUAUUCCUUAUUAGUGCCAAUUAAAUCAUGAGGGGGGAAUCCACACCCCAUGAACCACACUCUAAUCAAUAUGGUGCUAAAGGCUUAUCAUGCCAAAUAAUAAUAACUUUGUAUUAGGGAUCCGGUGAAACCACGGCGGUAUCUAGACAAGAUUAUUAUUAUUUGUCCACGAGAAGUCAAAAGAUCCACAAAAACUAGAGGGGAAGAGAAAAUAAAUUUACCAAAUAAAGCCCAUGACACAUGUUGAGACUUCACCUUCAACCCAAACUUGAAAGAAAAUUAACUACUCGUAAUUGAACUAGGGGCAAAAUGGAAAUUUAUUAAAAUACGUAGAAAAUACAAGAUGAAGGCCCCAUUUUUAUAGAUACAUUGAGUAAAUCAUGGCCAUCAAAUUAAAAACAGUUUGGACGCUUAGGAUUGCGCCAUGUCAUUAGUCAACAGUACGCGGUUUGACCACCGGUUUGAACAGUGACACGGUUUGACCACGCGGUUUGAACAGUGACACGGUUUGGUUGAAAAUAAUCCUGUGUAUAUGCAUUUAUCGUACGUGCACUUUUUGGUCUACUAACAUGCUGCCAUGUCACAGAUCAACAGUGCAUAUGAAUUUUUUCCAAUGGAAUCGUGACACCUCAUUAGUCAAUGCCACAUCAUCAGUAAAUGCCACGUCAUCGAUCCGUCUAUGUGAACAAUGUCGUGAACAGUAACAUAGACAAUACCGUACAUGUGAAUAUUACCGUACAUGUGAACAAUGACAUUUUUCCUUUUAAGCUCCUCCUAAGGUUUUCGACUGUCCUGAGUUCAAAAGUGAUGUCCGUUUUGCCGUCUGAUUUCUCGUUCAUUGUGAAAUGACUAUGAUGCCCCUAAAAAAGAUAAAAUACUUAAUUAAAAUAAAACACAUGUAAUUAAAUCACAAGAAGCUUAAAUACUUAAAAGUAAGGGUGUUAGUAAGACUUGAAAUGUAAAAUGACGAUUUUCUCCUUUAUAAAUAUACAUUUUCUAACACUCAACACACCUCCCAACCAGCUUAUUGCUAGUCCCUAGCAAAUAAAGCGAAAAUAAAAUUCAAACCCAAAAUAUAUUUUUUUUAAAACAAUCUUGUUUAUUCAAUCAAACUAAUGAUAACAAUCAAAUAAAAGUAUAAGCAUUAUCUCCAGUAUAAAGAAAUAUCACACCCACAUCAAUCAUCCAUAUGAAUCAGCCCAGUAGACUUUGUCACAGCUGCUUUCAAGAAUAACAUGUCAAACCCCAAAAUCUCACUGGUAGUAGUGAUACUCUCACAAAGAAAUUAAAUCCAAAAAGUAGUCACUCCAAUGAAUGGUAAUUGAGAGAAAAUAAUAAAGAAGUAAUAUCACACGCUCUCCCCAAGAUGAAAGAAAUAUGCCUUAAGCUUAGAAAUAAUACGAUCUCAAGUCAAACAAAAUGCUAGUCAACCCAAUUUAUUUAUUUAUUUAUUUUUUUAUGCACCACUACAUCUUUUUAGCCCAAAUAACUAGCUUCUACUUCAGACUAUAGCUCCCUAAAAUCAGGAAGGACUUCUACUAGGAUGUAACGUAGGCUAGGGUCAUGGCUAACAAAGGAGGGGAAAUAAAGAAACAAAAAUGUAUGUUUGAAAAAUAAGGGACUUUUGGAGAUUACAAGGUGCUUUAUAUUUUUUUUUUGGUAUUUUCUUUUCUUUUCUUUCUUUUUUUAUCUUUUUUUAUUGUAUUUAUAUAUAUAUAUAUAUAUACAUAUCCUUUUUUUAGCACCAUUAUUAAAAAUACAUAAUCAUCCUUAUUUUCAAACAUAAUUGGGUGGUGGAAAACGUAAAACAUAAGGUGAUACUCCACAUUGGAGUGGGAAAAGAUGAUAGGUUACUAAAAAAAAAAAUUUUUUUUUAAUAUAUAGGCUCAAAGGGGUUAACUAUGGAUACUUUAUGAUAGGGUUGGCUAGAAAGGCUCAAACGGAUCAAAGAUGGCCUUUCCAUCGUCUUUUAGGGUUCUAAAUAAUCUUCCAUAUCUACUAGUUAAAUGAACUUCCAAAUGUAGCAACACAUAUUUUUUUCUUUUUUCUUUUUACAAUUUUUUUUAGAGGGUUGACUCUAAAGAAAUCUAAAGAUCAUGUAUAAAAUAAUAAACUGCUAAGCUGUAUGAAGAAUGAGCAAAAUGAUUACUCUCCAGGAAAAAUGAUAGGCUCAAAAACUUACUUGGUACUUAUUAUGACAUGUUCACUCCUUCAAGCAACUCAUAUUUGUCUCCGACAUCAACAUGUAGAGUAGCAAACAUGGCUUAACAUCACUUAAGACCAAAGAUAAUACAAAUACUAAAAUUUGAAAUUCAUCAUGUCAUUCAAUGUUAAAACAAAUCACACAAUUUUUUUUUAAACAACAUUUUACUCCCCAACCUAUUCUAAGCAUGAAAGGAAAAUAUGUAUGCAAAAAGGUGAAAAAUGAUGCAGAAAAACUAAUUAGAAAAGUUACACUUAAAAUGAUAGAAAAAGAAAAUGGUUUUUUUUUUUAACUAAGAAGAUGCGUUUCUAGAGGCACUACACCCAUAUUCAGCUAUCUUUGACUCAAAAAUUUGAAAAUGUAUAUUUAUAAAGGAGAAAUUAAAAAGAAGAAGUUAAAAAAAAAUGAAUAUCAAAGCUUAAUAAAGAAAAAGAAAAUGUCUGGAAUUUUUUUUUUAACGAAGAAGAUGCGUUUCUAGAGUAACUACACUCCAUAUUCAGCCAUCUUCAACACAAAAAAUUAGCAAUAGUUAGUUUCUACAACAAAAAAUCAGUAAAAACUUAACCAAGAUUCCCCAAUUGUCGACUAUUCCCUCCCCCCAACCAGAACAAACAUUGUCCUCAAUAUUUUAAAGUAUAGAAGUAGAGUUUAGAAGACAUCACCUGGGUGGUGCAACACAGAAGAAAAUAUUUACAAGCGGAGAGUUAAAUCUAAUUUGUACUUCUUACUGCGGCUACUGUUACCAUAAUUAUUUGGAGACUCCAAUACAAGGGUCCUUGAGUCUGGCUCUGGUUUAUAAGCUUGUAACAUAUCAAGUAGUUCAUUAACAGUGUGAGCACAAAUAAAAAGCUUUUUCAUUGUGGAAGGAAUGAAAUAGUUUUUUAUUGCAUGGUUAAGAAGUGCGAUGAAGCCAUCAUAAAAGUUAUUGACAUUUAACAAACCGAUGGGUUUCUGGUGAACGUGUAGAUGGGCCCAAAAUGCUAAUGUGAUAAGUGCCUCUAGAGUUGCAAGAUCUCAUGGAAGGAAAAUAAAAGUAUCAGCAUGAUUAAGCAUUUCAGUUAUUCUUUCUUGCAUACCUGAGACGACUAACUCUUUUCCAGUCGGUGAGUCAUACAAACUGCCCAAAGUUUUUAGGGCCCUUGAAAUGAUGCCUAACACUUGGCUUCCUCUUACAAAAGCAGCUUCUGAGACCAAUUUUGAUAACCCUCGGUUACCGCCUCCAUACACCAAGUGUAAUUUUCUCUCUGCUAUGCUUCGACCAAGAUCUAUGGCUGCCUCAACGAUCUCUUUAUGUUUGCCAUAGUUAAAUCCAGAAAGCACACAAAUGUUCUUGAAUUGUCUAUUGGGAGUAGUCGCCAUUGGGAUACUUCUCAAAAACAAUUUGUGAGUGCUUGACAAAAAAUCAUAUUUAAUAAUCUUGGUGAUAGUGAGUCACAACUGUGUAUGAGGUAGCAUGUCAGUGUCAAUUAAUGUAUAAAGUACAUGGCUCGAGAGUAAAAAAGCAAACAGUAAAAAGAAAAAAAUGAUAAAAUAAAAUUAUUAAAGACAAUAAUGCAAAUGAUAAAACAACAGUAAAAUAAAACAACAGUGAAGUAAAAGGAUAUUUACAGGUAAUUGCAACUGUGACUCACAUCUUCCUCUGGUUUUACGUCCAUAAACUGCUUGAACGCCCUCUAUGGGUCGAGGAUGGGCUUCCCAUCAAGUUUUCUUAUAAACUGGCAAACAAGGUCGUUUAUAGUCAGAUUCCAGAGACUAUAUCGUGCAUGCUCUUUCUGGAAUAAUGGCCAUAACUGGAGAAUCGCUCCUUACACAUAUCCACUGGGAUGUGUUUCAAGAGACAAAAGGAUAUCAUCCAAUGACUCCUUAUUCAAGCCAUCCCUAAUGAAUUGAAUCUUAUCUUCCCUGUUAUUAGACACCAUUCCUAAAGAACAUGGGUUUUUAUUGCAUCUCAUUCUGGCACAUUUAUGACAAGCAACAUAAAUUCUUUGAGCUCUUCGUUUUCUUACAUAAUUUCCUUUACCACAACCAGGCAUGUAUGCAAUAAAUUUUGCAGGUAAUUCACCUAUCAAACGUGCUUUGGCCUCGAUUAACCAACGGAUGUCAGCAGGUAUGUUAUUCCUCAUGAGCAAUCGCAUGCGUUCAGACCGAGCUUUAUAGAUUGUAAGGAGGGCAUUUUGAGGAAGUGAAGGGAAUUGAUUGUGAAGCUUUGCUAAAAUCUCGUUUCUGUCAUACAUUCGCCUCAGAAUAUCAGUUAUUACUGAAAACUGAAGUAACCGACUUGAUUGUCACGGAGUACUGUUAUCCGCCACUUCACCGGGGAAACAAACUAAAGCACAUAAACAAAGAAAAACAAACUAAAACACAUAAAGAAAAUUACAAUCAUCCUCUUAUUGAAUUUACCUCAAGCUCCAACUCGAUCUUGUAGACACUUCUCUCAAUGUCUCUGAGUUGGCUUUCUAAAUCCUCAUCAUAAGAUACUAACUCUGUUGGUUACAGAGCCCAAAUACGAUGUGUUUUACAAAAUCGAAUCUGCCUUUUGAGAUGAGAUUUUACACGUUAAAGUGGUUUAAGAAUGUCUAGGAGGAACUGUUUAACUAUGGCACUCAUGAUUAACAAUGAUAAGAGAAAACUUAAUGGUUAAACAAACACACUUAUGCAAAAAUAAUUUCAAUUAGCAAAAGAAUAAAAAAAACAAAGAAAGAAAAAAAAACUCAAUUCAAAUCUGGUGGGUCACUCAAAUUUAUUUCGAUGUCCUCUCUAUGUGAUUGAUACUCUAGAUAUGGCUUUAAUCUUUGACCAUUAACUUUAAAUGUGACACCGUUCUUUGGGUCCUUAAUUUCAAUUGCCUCAUGUGUAAAAACAAUAUGAACAAUAAUGGGGCCAGACCAUCGAGAGCGUAACUUACCUGAGAAUAGGUGCAAGCAAGAAUUGAAUAAAAGCACUUUCUGACCUGGAGUGAAAGAUUUUCUCAUAAUUUGCUUGUCAUGAAAGACUUUCAUUCGCUGCUUGUAAAUUUUGGCAUUUUCGUAUACAUCAUUGCAAAUUUCUUCAAGUUUUGGCAGUUGUAAUCUUCUUUCUGAGCUACCUUGCUGCAUGUCAAAGUUGAAUUUCUUGAUGGCCCAAUAUGCACGAUGCUCAAGUUCCACAUGUAGGUGGCAAGUUUUUUCAUACACUAGCCUGUAGGGUGAUAUCCCAAUCAGGGUCUUGAAAGCCGUUCUAUAUGCCCAUAAUGCAUCAUCAAGUCUUAAUGACCAAUCUUUUCUGUCUGGCCUCACCGUCUUUUCUAAUAUGUGCUUUAUUUCUCGAUUGGAGAUCUCAACUUGGCCACUGGUUUGCGGAUGAUACGGGGUCGCCACUUUGUGAGUGAUUGAAUACUUUGUCAAAAUAACUUUGAAUGCUUUGUUACAAAAGUGGGUACCACCAUCACUGAUUAUUGCUUGAGGGAAUCCAAAGUGCGAAGCAAUGUUACUUUUCAAAAAUCCUAUCACCACCUUGUGAUCAUUGGUUCUGUAUGGAAUUGCUUCUACCCAUUUCGAUACGUAGUCAACAACAACUAAUAUGUAUUGAUGGCCAAAAGAAGGGGGAAAGGGUCCCAUGAAGUCGAUACCCCAUACGUAAAAAAUCUCAACCACUAAAAUUGGAUUUAGUGGCAUCAUGUUCCUUUGUGUAAUGCUCCACAUUCGUUGAUACCUAUCAUAUGAAGAGCAAAAGGUGUAAGCAUUUCGAAAUAUAAUUGGCCAAUAGAAACCAUAUUGUAAAACUUUUAUAGCUGUUUUCUUAGCACUGAAAUGGCCUCCACAAGCUUGUUCAUGGCAGAAUGAAAGAAUAUUUUAAAUUUCAUUUUCUGGGACACAUCGUCUAAUAAUUCGAUCUGCACAAUCCUUGAACAAAUACGGGUCAUCCCAAAAGAAAUUCUUUAUUUCUGCAAAAAAAUUAGCCUUGUCUUGCUUGGUCUAAUGCUCUGGAAGUUGACCUAGAACAAGAUAAUUCACGAUGUCAGCAUACCAUUGUAAUACUUCCACACUCAUUAAUUGUUCAUCUGGAAAAGACUCAUUCAAAGUUAAUGGUUCUGUAAUUGUGUCAAAAUGGAGAUGAGAGAGAUGGUCAGCCACAACAUUUUCUGUGUCUUUCUUAUCUUUAAAUUUCAAGUCGAAUUCCUGCAAAAGUAACACCCAACGAAUUAGUCUAGCUUUUGCAUCUUUCUUUGUGAGAAGAUAUUUAAGAGCAACAUGAUUUGUGAACACAAUUAUUUUACAACCAAUGAGAUAAGAUCGAAAUUUUUCCAAUGCAAACACUACUGCUAGCAUUUCUUUUUCAGUAGUUGAAUAGUUCAACUAUGCAUCAUUCAAUGUCAUACUAGCAUAGUAAAUAACAUGAGGAAUUCGAUUAACUCUUUGUCCUAAUACUGCUCCUACUGCAUAAUCAGAUGCAUCACACAUGAGUUCAAAUGGUAAGCUCUAGUUUGGAGGCUGAAUGAUGGGUGAUGAUGUCAACAACUGCUUUAAUUUUUCAAAAGCCACAAGACAUGAAUCAUCAAAGACAAAAGAUACAUCCUUAGCAAGUAAAUUGCAUAAGGGUUUAGAAACUUUGCUAAAAUCUUUAAUGAAACGUCUAUAAAAACCAGCAUGCCUAAGGAAAGAUCUUACUUCUCUGACUGUUUUAGGUGGAGGAAGAUUAGAAAUGAGAUCCACCUUGACUUUGUCAACCUCAAUACCUUUACUUGAAAUGAUGUGACUGAGAACAAUACCUUGUUUUACCAUAAAAUGACACUUCUUCCAAUUUAAGACUAAGUUCUUCUCGAUACAUCUCUGCAGAACUAGUGUUAGAUGAUGUAAACAUUGAUCAAAUAAAUCACCAAAGAUAGAAAAGUCAUCCAUAAAGACUUUAAGAAAUUGUUCAACCAUAUCAGAAAAAAUACUUAACAUGCAUUGUUGAAAUGUAGCAGGUGCAUUACAUAAUCCAAAUGGCAUCCUCCUAUAUGCAAAAGUGCUAAAAGGGCAAGUGAAAGUGGUUUUCUCUUGAUCUUUUGGUGCUAUAGGGAUCUGAUUAUUUCCCGAAAAGCCAUCUAGAAAGCAAUAAAAUUCAUGGCAUGCUACUCUAUCAAGCAUUUAAUCGAUAAAUGGUAAAGGAAAAUGGUAUUUACUUGUGACAGAAUUCAACUUUCUAUAAUCAAUGCAUACACACCAUCAUGUAGUCACUCUAGUGGGCAUUAAUUCAUUAUCAGCAUUGGUAACUACUGUGACUCCUAACUUUUUGGGGACAACUUGUGCAUGACUGACCCAUGAACUAUCAGAAAUUGAAUAAAUGAUACAUGCGUCUAAUAGCUUAAGGACUUCAGUUCUAACGACUUCUUUCAUGUUAGGAUUUAACCGACGUUGCAUUUCCCUAAUAAGUUUACCAUUUUCAUCAAGGUGAAUGUAAUGCAUGCAGUCUACUGGGUUUAUACCUUUUAUGUUUGCUAUGGUCCAUCAUAAUGCUCCUUUGUGCUCUUUUAAAACAUUCAACAACUUACCAUUUUGUUCGUCAUUGAGGGAUGAUGAGAUGAUUAUCGACAGAGUACUUUCUUCUCCUAAAAAUGCAUAUUCCAAUAUGUUGGGUAAUGGUUUGAGCUCGAGUUUCGAUGGUGAUUCUAAUGAUGGGAUGAGUUUCUUCUCUGAUGGUGCUAGUUGUUCAACUCUUGACUUCCAUUUAUUGGUGUCCAUGAAUGGUGCUGAGUCAAGUAGGGCGUUGACCUCAUCGACUGAUCUGCUAAUAUCAAAAUCCAAACUAAAGUGAGUUAAGCAUGUUUGUAAAGGGUCAUCAUUAAGGUUUGAAAGAAAAGUAUUAUCAACUAAUGCUUUUAUUAAAUCCACAUCAACAAUUUCAUCAUCUGCAUUGUGAGGUUGUUUGGCAAUGUUGAAGAUGUAUAGCUCCAUAGUCAUGUUGCUAAAGGACAACUGCAUAUUUCCGGUUCUGCAUUGAAUGUGAGCAUCGGCAGUUGCCAAGAAAGGUCGGCCUAAGAUAAUGGGGAUGUGCUUCCUUGAAUCCUAGAUUGGUUGAGUGUCAAUUACAAUGAAAUAAACAAAAAAAUAAAACUUGUCUACUUGGAUAAGCAUGUCCUCCAUAAUACCAUGAGGUUUUUUCAUGGACCGAUCUGCAAGCUGUAACACCAAUGGAGUUGGGUGUAAUUCUCCCAGUCUAAGUUUCACAAAUACUGAAUAAGACAACAGAUUUACACUAGCUCUUAAAUCCAACAAAGCAUUCUCAAUUAUGUGGUUCUCUAUGCUACAUGAGAUAGUGGGGGAGCCUGGGUCUUUUGCAAUUUAGAGGAAUUUUGUGUUGGAUUAUAGAACUAACGUUUUCUGUUAAAAAUGCCUUCUUUUGAACGUGACUGUUUCUCUUUUUAGUACAAAGGUCUUUAAGAAACUUGGCAUAAGAUAGAACUUAUUUUAUAGCAUCAAGCAAAGGGAUGUUAACACUUACUUGUUUGAAGAUUUCAAGAAACUCACCUGUGGAUUUUCCUUUCUUUCCUUUAGCUAACUUCUGAGGAAAUAGAGCUUUGGCAACAUAUUCUCGUGGGUUGGUUUCUUCUUUCUCUUCCGAUGGUGAGUCCUCAACAUUCACAAGUACAAUUUGAUUUUCUUUUGUCACUGGCAUCUCCACUUUGUUGUCGACUUCUUUUCCUUUUCACAAGGUCAUGACUGUUUUAACCUCUCCAUAUUGCUGUGGUGAACUGGUACUUACUUCAUGUACUCCUUUAGGAUUAGGCACUGGUUGACUUGGAAACUUGCAUUUCUCAACAGUCAUUGCCAAGGUCUAAACUGAAAAAGCAAGUUGUCCCACCAUUUUCUUGAGGCUUGAAACUGAUUGGGCUUGUGAGUUGAAGCCUGCCCUCAUCUCAUUUCGUAGUUCAUCAAUGGUGCGGUUCUGUUGUUCAAUCGUGGAGUGAGUAAUAUUCUUGAAAUUCUAUAGUGAAUCCUCCCAUAAUCUGAGUUGAGAAUAGUUAUGGUUCUGAUUGUAUGGUCUGAAUGGUGGCUAAGAGGCUUGAGGAAUUUGAGAAAUUGGUUGCAUUGGUAGAGAUGGAGCUACUGGUCCAUUCUGUUGGAAUCCUUGAGACCACGAAAAAUUGGGGCGGUCUCUCCAUCCAGGGUUAUAUGUUUUCUCAUUACACCUAUGGCAUUGGCUUGAUCUGAGUACGAGUCAUGGUCAUGUGGUUCUGUUGAUUUAGAGUCGGUAACGAUGCUAUUUGUCGAGAAAGACCUCCAACUAUCUCCUUGACUUAUUUGAUUCCCGAACUUGACUCGCCAAUGUGAACCUUAUUCACUCGUUUAAUUCUUUUAAUAUUCUUGAACGAUUGACUCCGUUGUUGGGAAUUAUCCGCUUGUCUCUGGAAGAACUCCUAAAUCUCUGAUGCAUUUUUCGACAUUAGCUCUCCUCCACUUGUUGCCAUUAGCUAUUCUUGUACAUGUGGCAAUAAUCCCUCCAAAACGUAUUGGCAUUGGUGCCAUUUCUCGUACCCAUGAUGUGGACACUUCAAGAGUAGCCCAUUGAAUCGCUCCCAUGUUUCUAAAAACUGCUCGUCUUCUCUCUGGGUAAACUCUGAAAUUUCCCUGCGAAUAACAUUGGUUUUAUACACUGAGAAAUAUUUAUUCAAAAAUUUAGUUACCAUUUGUUCCCAUGAUGAAAUGCUAUUAGCAGGUAAAGUAUUUAACCAUGAACGAGCUCUAUCCUUUAAAGAAAAUGGGAAUAAUCUAAGUUUAACAUCAUCGUCUGAAAAAUUCUCAUAUUUAAAAGUUUGACAAACAGCAUGAAAAUCAUUCAGAUGAUUAUAUGGGUCCUCAUUUUCUAAGCCAUAGAAUGUUGGGAGACAAUUUAGCACACUAGGUUUUAGUUCAAAACUCCUAAUAGCUACAUUUGGGUAUCUUAUGCAUGAUGUGCUCAAAUUAGCUAAGGGACUGAAAUAGUCCUUAAAUGGCCUCUCUGGUGGUACUUGUUGUUAUUGCAAAUCCAUUUAUUUUUAACGUGUUUGUAUGUGCGAAGUGUUUUAUCUAGUUCAAGGUCUAUAGGUUCAAGAUUAGGUAAUAAUGACCUUCGAUCAUGCAUGCAAUAAAUACAAAAAAAAUGAGAACAAAAUUAAUAAAAAUAAACAAGAAGGAGAAAUUACGGUACUAACCUUAUCACGUUGUUACAACAUUUUCUAUAAAAAAAACACACUUAAAAAAAUACGUUAAAUAAAUUAACUAAAAAAAAUUAAUAAGAUAAAAAAAAUUACAAAGAAAAAUAAAUUGAAAAUUAAAUUACAGAAUUUUAAAGGAGAGAAAAAGAAAAGAAAUUCUUACCUCUAAAUGUAGAUUCAUUUUUUUCCUUUUUUUUAAUAAGAAAAAAAUACAAGAAAACAAAUAAAAGAAAUUAUUCACAAAAAUUAAUUCUAUGAAUUAAAAUAACUUACCUCCCCAGCAAAGGCGCCAAAAACUUGUUAUACAAAUUUUAUUGAACUCACAAGUGCACGGAUCUAUUGUAGAAUAGAUUAAUGGUGACGAGUGUCGAUCUCACGAGGAGGUGGAUUUUAAUUGUGUGUAGAAUUAAUUUUUUAAAUGGGUGGAUGGUUUUGUUGGUGAAAAUGAUUUGGGGUAUUCUAAAAUUUAAAUUGGAAUGACGAAAUUAAAUUUAAAGUGGAAACUAUUAUAAUUGAAGCGCUUGGAUAUUUCGAUCCGCAUCAGUAUCCACCAUGAGCUAAAUAUUCAUUAUUAGUGCCAAUUAAAUCAUGAGGGGGAAUCCACACCUCAUGAACCACACUCUAAUCAAUAUGGUGCUAAAGGCUUAUCAUGCCAAAUAAUAAUAACUUUGUACUAGGGAUCCGGUGAAACCACGGCGGUAUCUAGACAAGAUUAUUAUUAUUUGUCGAUGAGAAGUCAAAAGAUCCACAAAAAUUAGAGGGAAAGAGAAAAUAAAUUUAUCAAAUAAAGCCCAUGACACAUGUUGAGACUUCACCUUCAACCCAAGCUUGAAAGAAAAUUAGCUACUCAUAAUUGAAUUUGGGGCAAAAUGAGAAUUUAUUAAAGUACGUAGAAAAUACAAGAUGGAGAAGGAAUUACAGAAAAUACAGCCCAAAAAUGGAUUCAGGGAUGCAAAAUUAGGGAGGGGAGACCCCCUUUUUUUAUAGAUACAUUCAGUAAAUCAUGGCCAUCGGAUUAAAAACAGUUUGGACGCUCAGGAUUGCGCCACGUCAUCAAUCAACAGUACUCAGUUUGACCACACAGUUUGAACAGUGACACAGUUUGACCACGCGGUUUGAACAGUGACACAGUUUGGUUAAAAAUAAUCCUGUGUAUAUGCAUGUACCGUACGCGUAAUUUUUGGUCUACUAACAUGUUGCCACGUGACCGAUCAACAGUGCAUAAGAAUUUUCUCCAAUAGAAUUGUGACAUCUUAUCAGUCAAUGCCACAUCAUCGGUCAAUGCCAUGUCAUCGAUCCGUUUAUGUGAACAAUGUCGUGAACAGUAACGUAGAUAAUACUGUACAUGUGAAUAGUACUGCACAUGUAAACAGUGAUAUUUUUCCUUUUAUGCUCCUCAUAAGGUUUUCGACUGUCCUGAGUUCAAAAGUGAUGUCCGUUUUGCCGUCUGAUUUCUCGUUCAUUGUGAAAUGACAAUGAUGCCCCUAAAAAACAUAAAAUACUUAAUUAAAAUAAAACACACAUAAUUAAAUCAUAAGAAGCAUAAAUACAUAAAAGUAAGGGUGUUAGUAAGACUUGAAAUGUAGAAUGACGAUUUUCUCCUUUAUAAAUAUACAUUUUCUAACACUCAACAAUCAGCAUUAGGAUUAUUUUUCAUUUCUUCAUUCUUUAUCAAGACAUCAUUAAUAUUGCUUUUCUUUUACUUUUUCCUUUUCGCUACUUCUCUUGGAUCCUGGUAAAUAUAACUAGAUAAUAACUGAGAACUGAAACUACAAUUCAAGUCCAUUAACAAAUUAAAAUAUAAAAUUUAAUUUUUUAUGUGUACCUUUGAUUGAGCAGAAUUAAAAGAAGAACCAUUAGUUCUGUUAUUUCAUUCUUGUACAUAUAAGAAGUAGAAGUAGUCAUAGUUCUUUGAGUGACCUACUGCUUAGUUGAAGACAUUGUAGUGCUUUGGAUUUUGGUCACUGCAUAAUUAUUAUCAGAAGGCUCGUUAUAAUUAUCAUUGUCGUUGUUCUGUUGUCACAAAGUAUGAGGUUAACUCGUUUAAUAUACAAGAUCAGGUAAAGAAAGAUAAGAUAAUCAUCACUAAUUAAAUUUGUAAAAAGAAAUUAAUUUUGGCAAUUAAUUCAGCAUACAACAAAAAAAAAAGUUUUCAGUGUAUCUGACUAGUCUCUAGACAUUUGUUUUACUUUCAUUACUCUUAUCAAGUCCUGCUUCUUCUCUCUUUCAUUACUUUGAGUAAGUUUCUUCUUAUUGUAUUCAUUUAUUAAACAAAUGAUAGUGAUUUGGCAUCCAUGUUUCUUAAUUUUUUGGGUAAAAAAUUAAGUGCUUUUGUACUAAAAAACAAAUUAAAUAUGAUAUUCAUGCUAUUUAAAACUAUGUUCGUAGCAAACUUGGUAUAGUUCAAUAGAAAAUUAAAAUUCCAUCACCCUAUUUAUGAACAUGUCUAUCCCUAGAUAUAGAAGUUAAAUUGGUGGUAUUACAGUCAAUACGAUUACGCCUAGAAAGAAAAUUAUAGCAUAAAGCAUCAAAGGGCAAAACUGGCAUGAUAUAUGAUAUUGCUAAUUUCUAAGUGCUCUUUAAACUAAUUUUCUAAGGAGAGAAAAGUGAACAAAAAAUAAUUAACAAUUUUGAGAAUACAUAAAAACAUUGAAUUUCUACAUUUUCAUCUCUGCUAACGUAAUGUUGCCAUCAGCAAUUGGAUUUAGUAUUCUUAGAUACUCGGCCGAAAAAUUAAACUUUCUACCAUUCAAUCUCCACCUGAAACAAAAGAUCAAGUAAAAGAUAGAUAGUUAGAAUUGCAUUAUGCAAGCAAUCAAGUUUUACACAACAAUUACAAGAACAAUACAACCUCCUAAUAAUUGAUGAAAAUAGAUUAAAAACUUCCCAAUCAAAUCAAGUCCUUUCCAAAAUGGGCUUCUCUCUUUUUAUUUAAAAAAUGGUUCCUACCAUGAAAAUUGAGGCUUCAUGAAGAACAAGAACAGAAAAAGAGAUUUUAAGAGAUGGGUUUUGGGUUUAAGAGGAAAUUUUGAAAUGGGUCAAUUUGAAUUUGAUAAUUUGAUAAGGAAAUAAGAAGAGGAUGGAACUGUUAUUGGGAGAGCAAAAUAUUUGAAAUAAGGAAAAGUGUAGAUAAGGCAAGUAAAAAUGCUUUGGUAAAUUGAUCGUUGGAUUUUAAAGACUUUAGUCGAACAGAGGUCAAGAAGUGGAACCAAAGAAGACAAAAAAAAAAAAAAAAAAAAAAAAACCAAGUGCCUUGCACAUAUGACAAUACUAAUACCAAUAGAAACUAAUUUUCUUAAGCUACUUGAAUUUUGAGAUAGCUAAAUAUUUUUAAAUAAAAUAAAAUAAAAUGGUUUGUUAUUGGGCCAAUUCGAUAUAGAUUUGGAUCCAAAUUUAAAGUUAAAUUCUCUAAAUUUGUCAAAAUAAUAAUACAUCACAAAUGAGUUAUACAAAUUUGUCUGUACAAAGAAUUGUGGCAUGAAAGAAUUAUUUGAAAAGUCUAUCAAUCCCUUCAUAUGUAAAUUGAUGUGAUAAAGUUAUAAAUAUAAAUUUUUACGAAGUGUUCAUGAAUUAGUAAUUGUGUUCAAUUCUUUCUAACCAUUUCAUAAAUUGUAGAAAAGUAACGGUUAGGAAAGGUCUAUUCACAGGAGUUUAAAUUUUAUCCAGACAAAAUAGUAGUAACAAAAUAAAUUGGUUACAAUUACUUAAGAAAAAAACUUUUACUUACGAUAUUUUAGUCUUUUCAUUGUAGAUCAUCUGCAAUAAAAAAAUAAAGUCUUAAAGUUAUAAGAAAUUAUAAUAGCUUUAGAUAUUACUAUUAUGUGUGUAGAAGUUUUUAUAAAUUUACACAUAUUUUUUAGUUACAAAAUAGUUUCGUCACCUAUAAUUAUAUUUUGCAACUAUUUUAUAAAAUUCUCCCAUAAUGUUGAAUUUUUCAAGGGAAGUUUUUUUGGAAAAAGAAACUUGUCUUUUUACAAUCAAAAUAAUGUUCCUUACAAAAAAAGUUGAAUUAGGGACCAAGUAGUGCGUCUUAGGAAAAAAAUAACUUGGUCACAAAAAUACAACAUUAUCUAAGACAAAACUUUCAACUACUAUUUUUAGUUUUGUCCCUGUAGUAACUCAUCUAGGACUGAAAAAUGAGGUCUUAAAAUUAUAAGAAAUUAUAAUAGAUUUAGAGACUAAAUAUUAUAUGUAUUGAUGGUUUAUGUAAAUUUGCACUUGUUUUUCAAUUACAAAAUAGUUUCGUCACCAUUAAUUAUAUUUCGCAACUAUUUAUUGUGUCAUGAAUAAUGAAAUAUUGUCCUAAAAUGUUCAAUUUUUCAAGGAGAUUUUGGGCCAAAAGAACUUGUCAUUUUUUGACUAAAAUAAUAUUUGUCACAAAAAGGUUGAAUCAGCGACCAAGUAGUGUCUCAGGAAGAAAUAACUUGGUAAAAAAAAUACAAUGUAGUUCAAGACAAAACUUUGAACUACUAUUUUUGAUUUUGUCACUAUAAUUACUCAUCUAGGACUAAAAAUAAGGGCCUUAAAAUUAUAAGAAAUUAGAAUAGCUUUAGAGACUAAUAUAUUUGUCACGGAUGGUUUGGUUAAAUUUACACUUAUUUUUUAGUUAUGGAAUAUUUUCGUUACCUAUAAUUAUAUUUUCUAACCAUUUAUUUUGUCCUAAAUGAUGAAAUAUUGUCCCAAAAAGUUUCAAAUUUGAAGAUAAUUUUUUGUCCUCAAAGAUUUUUUUUUUGCUACUGUAAUAAUGUUUGUCACAAAAAUAUUGAAUCAGAGACCAAUCGGUCACAUAAAUACCAUUUUGUGACCAAAUGUUAAAGUGUUGUAAAAAAUAUUGUCUUAAAAAGUCAAAUUCCUUGUAGUGUAACACAUCUGGGUUAUUAUUGUUAUGUUUAUUUUGACCCUGAACAUCUUUAUGCUUCUAAAAAUUGAGCUAUAUACAAUUCCCUUUGAAGCGACCCUACUUCUCUCUCACAUAGGUGAUUUCUUAAUUAAGAAUAACCCAUUUUACACUACUUAGAUUCUUAGUGUAUAAGAAUCAUUAAGAGCAUAGCUCAUCCUUUCUCCUACUGGUGUCACUAUUUUAUUAUAGGAAGGGACAAGAUGAUACCCCAAUAGUGAUCUCACCUGGUCUUUAAUAAUUAAGUUGUCCCUUUGAACAUAGAGUUUGGGAAUCUCCAGUUAACUAGGUUAGAUUUUCUUUUGUUAUUGAUGUAGCAGAAGUUUAAUGUUCAAGAUAUUCCGUUGAUUCUAGAGAAUGCCGGAAUAAAAGAACAACUAAACUCACGUUGAUUCAAAAGAAUGCCAUGAAUUUAGGGGUUAAGACUUGCCGAUUCCGUAUAAUACCGAGAAUUAACUGAACUGAAACACUCACAAAAAGAUUUAAAAAUUGAAAAUAUUAUUGAAAUCGAACAUGCCUUCAAAGGCUACAAGAGGAAGCUAUUUAUAGUAGCAGAAAUUAUCCUAAAUCACUAAAGGAAAACAAAAUUCUAAAUUGAAAAGGAAACAAAAUUCUAAAUUGGAAAGGAAAUUAAAAGUCCUUAAUUAAUUAGGAAACAUAUCCUAGUAUAAAUUUCUAUUCUGCAUCAUUCCCCCCAGGAUGGAAAGAAUUCGCUCUCGAAUUUAGAUUAUCAGCAAUAGCAUCUUCAUCAUGAUCACCUUUGUAAGGAAUAAGAUGCUUGACAUUGAAUACAUCUGCUGUGCAAAUAUCACUAGGAAGCUUCAGUCUGUAUGCAUUAGGAUUUAUCUUAUCGAUAAUCUCUAAAGGUCUUAUUUUCCUGGUAGAAAGCUUGUUGUACUCGCCAACUGAGAGAACCUAUCUUUGGUUAAGACAGCCCAGACAAGAUCUCCCACUUGAAAUUCUAAAGCUCGACGCUUUUUGUUUGCCACAAUUUUAUAACCUUCGGUAGUCUGCUUCAAAGACUCUUGCGUAGUUUCAUGAAUCUUCUUAAGCUGCUCAAUAAAGUUUUCCGCCUUACUGCUUUUCAAAUUAAAUCUGGAAUUGGAGCCAAGUUGAUGGGAGCUCGUGGAAUAUAUCCGUAAUUCACUUGAAAAGAGCUUAAACCAAUACUACGCUUAACUGCACGGUUAUAAGCAAACUCGACUUGAUAUAACUUCUGGUCCCACGUCUUCAGGUUAUCGCCAACUAGACUACGUUUCCUAAAGAGCGGUUGACAACUUCGGUUUGAUCAUCUGUUUGUAGUGAUAAGCACUACUGAAAUUCAAGCGAGUGUUAGUCAACUUCCAUAAUGUCUUCUAAAAAUGGCUAUGCAAUCGUGUAUCCUGGUCAGAUACUAUAGAACUCGGUAACCCAUGCAAUCUAUAGACUUCCUUGAAGAAUAAACGAGCAACAAUCAAAGUGUCUGUAGUCUUCUUGCAAGCAAUUAAGUGAAUCAUUUUCGAGAAUCGAUCAAGAACAACAACUAUUGAAUCCAUACCCCUUUAAGUGCGGGGUAAUCCCAAAACAAAAUCUAUGCUAAUGUCAGCCCAAGGUUGUGUUGGAAUCGGCAGCGGCAUAGAUAACCAGUAUUAGUUGCUACACCUUUGGAAACCUGACAAAUGCGACAAGUCUCGACAUAGUGAUAGACAUCACGCCUCAUAGUAGGCCAAAAAUAAGUGUUGGCUAUUAGAGCGAGAGUUUUGUUACGAUCCAUGUGCCCUUCGUUAUGUAACUCUGCAAUGAUUUUCAAUCUCAAACUUGAGUCAUGAACACAUAACUAAUUACUCUUGAAAAGGAAUCCGUCAUGUAAAUGAUAAUUUGAGCGAAACCCCGCAACAACGUCUUCUAAUAUAGAAGAAAAGAAAGGAUCAGAAGCGUAUAGCUCUCGAAAUGUGUCAAAUCCGAGAACUUGAUUAUGCAUUUGUGUUAAUAAAAAAAGUUCAUCGACUAAGUGCAUCUGCUACCCGAUUGGAUUCGCCAGAGGUAUGCUUCACCACAAAAGUAAACUGCUGAAGGAAUACUGUCCACGUGGCAUGUCUGUGAGAGAGCUUGUCUUGACCAUUGAGAUACUUUAACGCCGUAUGGUCAGUGUAUAAAAUAAAGUCUCUAUGAAUUAAAUAAUGUCACCAAUGUUUUAACGCUUGGACUACUGCGUAAAACUCCAUGUCAUAAGUGUUGUAGCGUGCCUUUGCACCGUUCAACUUCCCACUUAAAUAAGCUAUAGGCUUACCCUGUUGGCUAAGAAUAGCUCCAAUGUUUACCUUGGAAGCAUCAUAAUGUACCUUAAAAGUGAGUGAAAAAAUCUGGUAGGGCAAGUAUUGGGGUAGUAAUCAACUUUUCUUUGAUAAUCUUGAAUGCCUUAGUAGUUGCCUCUGUCCAAGAGAAUUGUCCUCCUUUCAUAUAAUCCAUAAUUGGUGCCAUAAUAGUACUAAAAUAAGGAAUGAAUCGCCUGUAAAAAGAGGCCAAUCCAUGGAAACUUCUGGUGGCUGAUAAAGUAGUUGGUUGAGGCCAAUCUCGAAUAGCAUCCACUUUUGAUUGGUCAACGAUAUACCAUCCUUCGACACCAUAUAUCCUAAAAAUAAUACUUUUUCUGUCAAGAAAAUACACUUGUUUACUACUGUGUAUAAACUCACUGCUCUUAAAGCUGAAAGCACUUCUCUCAAAUGUUGUAGAUGUAACUCGUGAUUGGUGCUAUAUAUAAGUAUAUCAUCGACGUGAAAAACCAUAAACUUUCCAAUAAAAGGGUGAAGAACUUGAUUUAUAACUCGCAUAAAAGUACUCGGAGCAUUGGAUAAGCCAAACAGUAUUACCAACCACUCAUAUAACCCUUUGCGAGUUUUAAAGGCUGUUUUCCAUUCAUCUCCAGACCGUAUUCAAAUUUGAUGAUAGCCACUUUUCAAAUUAAGUUUGGUAAAAUUUACUACUCCACUGAGUUGAUCUAACAAAUCAUCUAAUCGAGGGAUUGGAAAAUGAUAUCGAACAGUAAUUUUAUUGAUAGCUCGACUGUCUACGUACAUCCUCCAAGAACCAUAUUUCUUUGUAGUCAAUAAAGUAGGGACUGCACAAGGACUAAAACUUUCACGGAUAAAUCUCUUUCCUACUAUCAAAAAUUGACUCUUUAGCAAACUCUUCAGUUUCUUCCUCCUGGUAGUCUUCACUUUCCUUUGUGCCUACGAAUAAGCCUUUACCCUAUUUUCCUCCUUUUUUACAUUCCGUCAUUCGGUGCCCAUUUUCUCCACAAUUAAAACAGCAUAAUAUUGAACCCGAGGAUUGGGUUUUGCUGCUUUGACCGAUUUCACUAGGUUUACUAGAUUUAUUUGGAGGAUUUAGAGGAGUGAAAUUACAGAAUUAGGAAGUCGGGAUUGAAUUAUCAUGACCAACACUUCGAGCACCCCGAAAGCUUGAGUCAUUAGUACGUCGACUAAAUUGCUUCUCCAACUGCAAGGCUUGUUGGUUUGCCUUUGAAAUAGAGUAUGUAAAUUUAAUUAGUCUUGAAACUAAGAUCGUAGGCCUCUAAUGAAAUCGAAAACCUACUGUUCUUCUGUCUCUGUCAAUUCAUUACGUUGUGUAAUUUUGUGGUGUAAUCAUCCAUUGAUCGAUUACCUUGCCUUAAAUUCUAUAGCUGUUGGUAUAACAGUUUGGCGUAUUUAUGAGGCAAGAAUGCUCCACGCAAGUGGUUUUCAAAAUUUCCCAAAAAUCAAUCUUCUUUUUGCCUUGCCUAAUCCUUGUGAGCUUAGUUUGUUGCCACUAAGCUACUGCUCUUCCAUGAAAUCGAGUUGCAGCAAGUGAAACUAGUUUAUUUUCAGGAAUUUCUUUGUUUUCAAAAACUUCCUCAAUGACAUUAAUCUAAUCCAAUAAUUCUUCAAGUCGACCACUUUCUUGGAAUUUGGGAAUGUCAAUUCUCAAACCAAAUUCCCAUAUUUUGUCAUUAGUAGACUAAGUUCUAGGCCGACACCCAGAGAACGAGUUAGCAAAACUUUCACUUGAUUUGUCUUCGCGUUCUGGAGUGCGAUGGCAUUCGUUAAGUAACUCUGCCAUUCAUGCCAUUUGUGCAGCUAACAUAUCAAUUUUGGCUGUCAUGCUAGCCAGGGCUUCAUCUUUAGAAACAUUAUCUUGAUUGUAAGUUGCAGCAUGAGCAUCACGAGCUUUUCUUGGAGGCAUUUUCCAAAUUCGGGUUUGAAAAGGUAGUUGGGCUAAACUGAAAUUAAAUAAAAUUUUAGGCCAAAACUAUAAUUAAGUAAAAGUUUUAUAUUUUUGAUGACGGUGGUCGGAAACCGAGCAAGGAUGGGUGGAUCUGAAAGUUUUUGGGUUGGUGAGUAUGAUGGUGUUGGUGGUUUGUUAAAAAAAGUGGUGUUUUGGCAGGAAAUUUUAGAUAAAGCUAAUGGUUUGAGCUUCGAUUGAUGGUAAUGAAUAGUGGGAAAGGUUCAGUUGAUGGAGAUGAAUGGAUUGAUGGUAGUGCUUUUGGCCAAAUCGUGCCGGAAAGUGGUGAACAGAGGUGGCAGCGAUCGCAACUUUUUUGGCUUUUUUCCGGCGAUCUAUGGCUAAAUGAUGGUGGAAGAUGCUUAGGGUUUGAUGGCGGCGAUUUAUGAUCCAAUUGGUGGUGGUUGCGUCUGGAUCGGUGACGGAAAACUAAAGCCGGUAGCCUUGGACGGUGGCCGAGGGUUGAAGCUUUUGCUUCUAUUUCGUUUUUUUUUUAAAGCUAAACGAAAAAAUCAAAAAGGGAAAAAAGUAAAGGUUUAGUGGUAGAUGGGGUUAGAUUGGUGAUACCAGGUUUUAGCUCUGAUACCAAGUUGAUGCAGCGGAAGUUUAAUGUACAAGACAUUCCGUUGAUUCUAGAGAAUGCCAGAAUAAAAGAACAACUAAACUCACGUUAAUUCAAAAGAAUGCUGUGAAUUUAGGGGUUAAGACUCGUUGAUUCCGCAGAAUACCGAGAAUUAACUGAACUAAAAAAAUCACAUAGAGAUUUGAAAAUUGAAAAUAUUAUUGAAAUCGAACAUGCCUUUAAAGGCUACAAGAGGAAGUUAUUUAUAGUAGCAGAAAUUAUCCUAAAUCACUAGGGGAAAACAAAAUUUUAAAUUGAAAAGGAAACAAAAUUCUAAAUUGAAUUGGAAAGGAAAUUAAAGUCCUUAAUUAAUUAGGAAACAUAUCCUAGUAUAAAUUCCUAUUCUGCAUAAGUUAUUGACUUAUAAUUCUAUGGGCUUCAAUCCCAUUCCUCUGAAUGAAUUUUCUAUUAGCUUUCUCUUUGUUAUCGAUUUGGCAAUAUUAUCAUUUUACUCCACAUAUUCGAUAGAAAGACCUUCAAUAGAGAGUAGUUGUCUAAUGGUAUUAUUUGUUCAACGUAUAUGUGUAGACUUAUCAUUAUAUUUAUACAUAUUACUUUGUGCCCUUCCAAUUGCAGAUUGACUAUCGUAAUGAAUGCAAAUUGCUGGCACUAGAUUUGACGAACUUGGAAUACCCUCUAAGAAAUUUCAUAGCCAUUCUGUUCCUUCACUACAUUUGUCUAGUGCAAUGAAUUCAAAUUCCAUUGUAGAUCUGGCUAUUACAAUUUGUUUAGAGGAUUUCCAUAAAGUAGCUGCACCUGUUAGUGUAAACACAUAUCCACUAGUAAAUCUUUGUAUCUUUCACAUCAGAUAUCUAGUUCGCAUCACUAUUUCCUUCUAGCACAACCCAAAACUUUAUCCACAUAAUAUGAUUAACUAAGAAUAAGUUCAUUAAAAGCUCUUGAAGUUUUUAUUCCCAAAAUGAUUGUUAGACCAUGUCUUUCAUGUCAAACUUAGACUUCAAUAUAUUCUUGAUAGACUUGAAUGUAUUCUUGAUAGACUUGACCUUUUUACCAUCACUCUAAAAAAUGAGCAUGUCAUCAAGAUAAAGACAUAAAAUGACAGCAUUUUUUUGUCUAUUUGACAUUUACACAUUUGUUAAAUUCGUUCAUCUUAAAACAAGUUGCCAUCAUUGUUUGAGCAAAUUUUUCAUGCCAUUGUUUUGGUGCGUACUUUAAUUCAUGUAAAGAUUUUAAUAAUUUACACACUUUUUUUCUCUUGUCUUAGAGCUAUAAAGCUUGGAACUAUUCUAUGUAGAUUUUUUUAUUUAUCAAAAUCUCCAUUUAGAUAGGUUAUUUUUACAUCUUUUGAAGUACUUCAAGAUUAUGCAAAGCUGCAGUCACAAGUAUACUCCUAAUGGAGUUUGUUCUUGUUACUUAAGAAUAUGUAUCAAAAUAAUCAUGGUCUUUUCGUUGCUUAUAACCUUUAAUAUAAGUCUAUCCUCAUACUUUUUAAUUGAUUUAUCAACUUUUAUUUUCUCAUGAAAAUCCAUUUGGAUCCUAGAUACGAUUUUGUAAGAUGGAUUCAAUUUCACUAUUUAUGGCAUUUUUUUCACAAAGUACCUUCUGGUGAACUUAUAGCUUCCUUGAAGUUUCAAGGUUCACUUUCCAAAAAAAAUGUUACAAAUCUAGAACAAAAGAUUUUUCUACUCUAUCUCUUUUACUACAUCUAGGUUAAAAUUGAACCUCUUACUCAUCUUCUCGAAAUUCUUGUUCUUGAUCUUUGAUUAUCUUCAAUGACAGCCUCAUAUAUUCCUUUGAGCACUCUCAAAUCCAUUUUGGAUUUAUAAGGAAAUAAUGUUAACAUGAAUAUGUUAAUAAUAUUGAUUUUGAUGAUAACAAACUUUAAAUGAUUUUUUUUUUAUAAAAUGUUGGAGCUAUUUCUUAAAUAAACGAAAGCCUUAUAAUCAUUCCAAUUAUAUUCAUAAAUGAUAGACUUUCAAAUUAGAAAAUAUUCUCUGCAAAAUCUGGUUUAAAAUGUGAUUCUAGAAAUAAACAGUGAACCGUUUUCUUUUAAACGGUUAACCGAUUAAAACUAGAGAGCAACAUAUUGCCUAAGCUCUAACUGAUUAAGAAAAACAGAAAACACAAAAAGUUGGGAAGGCUACUGGAAUUUAACGGUGAACCGUUUAUUUAAACGGUUAACCGAUAAAAUCCAGAAUUAAAGAUUUUACUCAUUUGGCACCGUUUAACAAAACGGGAUAAGGCUAAUUUGUUUUGCAGGUUACUGGAAACAAACGGCGAACCGUUUAUUACAAACGGUUAACCGAUAAUUUCCAGAGAGGUCAUUUCAUGCAAAUCCUUAACCGUUUAAUGCAAACGGAUAAUUGAUGUUCAUCUUGCAGGUCUCUGGAAUUUAACGACGAAAGGUUAACCCUAAAUAGUAAACUGUUUAUUUGAAAAUUAGCCCAACGGUAACAUUGACCAGAUGAAACGGUUAACCGUUAAUGUCUAACGGUGAACCAUUUUCGAGCAGACAGCCUAUAACGGCUAGUUUUUUAGCUCCAGUUAUAAAUAAGUUCAUUCAAAAUCAAACAAGAUUGAUCACAAUACAACCAUUGAACUUAUAUUCGAGAAUCCAAUCUUCAUAGAGCUUUAACACACAUUCUUGCUUCAUCUAUUCACACAUUGGGCAUUGAUUUAUAAUCUUAAAUAUUGUGUGAGAGAAAAAUAAUUUUUAAUCUUUUACUUUGAGUGAUUGUAAGUGUUGUGAUAUACUCGGGUUAAGAUAUUGGGGAUAAUCUCUUAUUGUAAAGAUUCAUUGACACCUUGGAAGUCAAGUGUAAGGGUGGGCAAAAAAAUCGUGGUCUUAAAAAUACCGAACCGAACCAACGGUUUUUUUUUUAAUUCUGAUCGGUUUUUAUUUAAAAAAAAUUGAAAUAUAUCAUUUGUAAAAAAAUCGAAAUGUCGGUUCGGUAUUCGGUUCACUUAGCUGAACCAAAAAACCAAAUUAAUAUUAGAUUUUAUUCAAAUCGACAUGUGUUAAAUUUUUUUUAUAGAUCCAAAUAUUGAGUUGGAAAAUGCUUAAAGUUGAUGUUGAUAUUGAUGAAGAUGGGAGAACGUUGUUGGCGUUUGUUUGCAAUUUUUUUUUUGGGUGAAGAUGGGAUUUAUUUUGUGUUGUAAGUUGUAAUUAUUGUUAUUUUUAUUUGUCUUUACAACAUUAUGAUUAUGAUUAUGAUUAUGUUUAUGUAGAUGGAGUAUUGGAGUUUGGUUAUGUAUUUUGAAAUUUUAAUAUUUCAUAUUUUGUGAGUACCUUAUUAGUAGUUAGUAAGAUAUUAGUGAUAAAAUGUGUUUUGAAUACUUUGUAUUUAUUGUUAAUAUUUGUAAUGAAAUUAGGAUGAACUAAUUGUUGAAAAAAAUUAUUCCAUUCAUGAGGCCCAAUGGGCUAAAAAUUUGAAAUUUCAAAAUAGGCCCAAUAGGCCCAGAACCGAAAAAACCGAACCGAAUCGAACCAAUCCGAAAAGAUCAGUUCUUAUUGAGUUCGGUUCUUAUUAUGUUCUUUUUAUAAAAUAACCGAUUUAAAUCGGUUCUACUUAAUUUCAAUCCGAACCGAACCGAACCGAACCGUGCCCACCCCUAGUCAAGUGUAAGCAUUUGAAGCCUUGGAGGUUUGCUUAGUGAAAUCCUCAAGCCCGGAAAGCUUGGAGGCGUGGACGUAGGCGAGGUUGGCCGAACCACGUAAAAAUCUUCGUGUUUGAAUCUCUCUUCCCUUAUCUUUUUAUAUUGUAAUUGAUUUAAUUGUUAUUCUAUUAAAUUCAUCUUAGAUUUGCUUGAUAAUUUAUUUUAGAAUCCAAUAAGUUUUAGAAUCCCAAUUCACCCCCCUCUUGGGUUGCACACUAGUAUUUCAAAUAAUUGUUUGAGAAAUGAUGCAUUUCUUGAUUCUAUUAUUGUACUUUUGUGAAAAUCUAGUAUAUUCUACUCAUACAUUUGAAUUCUAUAAGUACUAUUGUUAUGUGCAUAACCAAUGAAAAUGCAAUCCACAGUAUUUGAUCCUAUCUUCACGUUUUUAAGUGGAAGAAUGACUAAUUUAGCAAGAUAACUCACACUCAUAGGUAUAUAUAGGAAGGUAAUCUAUUUCCCCAUAAUUCACAAGGGUUUUUUUACUUUAUUUUAUGGUACCUUAUUUAAAAGGUAAUUAAUUAGCUGGUAAAAAAGCUUCUUCCUAUAUGUUUUGAGGUAACCUAAUACUUAUCAAUAUUGCAUUCAUCAUUUUUCUCAAGGUAUAUUUUUUCAUUUAGCAAUUCUAUUGGAAUGAGGUGAGGAGCUACUAUUUGGUGAAUGAUUCUAUAUUGUGUUAGGAAAUAUGUCUUAUUUUUCAAUAAAAAUUUCCUAGUAUAUUUUCUUCUUUAGUAAGAUUUUUAUUUAAAGAAUAAUAUUCCCUUUGAGACUUGAAUUAUUCUAGGCGGAACGCUGCUAAUAUAAGAAAAUGUAUACUUCUCUUAUAAGAAAUAAUCACUAUAUAUAUAAAGGUUGAAUUCACUUGUUUGUAUCAACAAUCAGUUCUCUUGAAGUAGAUUGUUUCUAGUGUGAGAGAAAUGAUAGGUUUAUUAAGAGACUGAGUGUUAUUAAGGUUUUGAAUGUGAGAAAAAAUAAUAGAGUGAUUGUAAUAAUUUUUUACAUAGUAAAUGUUUCUCUCGUUGCCCUUGUCGGCCAUUAUUUUUCUUUAGUAUAGGAGUUUUCUAGGUAAAUUCUUGUGUUGUGUGAUUGGUUUUAUCUUCCAUCUAUUUUCUGUCUAUUAUUUAUUUGAUAUUUUUGCUUGCAAGAUCUUGGGUGCGAUUAAAAUUGGCUUACUUAAACAAGUUGUAUCAGUGCUAAAGUUGCAACACAGAAGAAAUAUAUCAGCAAUGAGCUUUUCAAACCUGCAAAGGUAGAAAUAGAAAAGUUUGAUGGAAGAACCAAUUUAGGCUUAUAGAAAGUUCAAGUCAAGGAUAUAUUGAUUCAAUCUAGAUACAUAAGGAAAGCAAGGAUGAUGUAAAAUCUAUUCCCACUCGUGGAAAUUCUGGAGAUGUGUAGACAAUCAAGACACCUUAGAGAAGAUUGUUAGAAUAGAGCAAGUUCCGCAAAUAGCUUUAAGUUAGUAAAUAGAGAUAUUGAUAAUGUCAACCACUGAUAUGUCUUUUUUCUCCAUGAGAGAGAGGUUUAUCCUUUUUGGCAUGCUAUGCUAGAGGAUGUAUUACUGUUAGCAGGUCUAUAAGAUUUGUACAUAAAGCAUGGUUUAACAUUUAUGAAAGGUAUGUCACUAUAAGAAAUUGUUGUUUUAGCCACAUACCAUAAAGUGGCUAAAAGCUACAAAUUUGUAGCUAAAUAUCUUUUGCCACAAACAAAAUUUCAUGGUCAUUUUGUUACCUAAUGACCGUGGCAAAAAAUAUAUAUAGCCACGACAUAAAGAUUUCGUGGCCAAACAUUAACAGACACAAUUUAUGUUCCUCGCAAAAUACCAUUGCACACUCCCUCUUCCUUAGCAUUGUAGACGAAAUAUUUGACUCCAUCCGUGGAUAAAUACGGAUUCGUGGCUAAAAGUAACACCAUUAGCCACAAAUCAAAUUGUGGCUAAAUGACACAACCUUUAGCCACGAUAUGGGUUUAUCAUUAAUUACCUUCUCUGGUAACAUUAGUCAUGGUGGCUAAAUUGCAAAUUUGUGGCUAAAUUGCAAAUUUGUGGCUAAAUGCAAGACUAUCAGCCACGAAUACAUUGUGGGUGAAUUUGGUAACAUUUUACAAUGAAAUCUAUUUGUCACUAGUUAUAUUCUUUGGUAAUGAAAUCGAUUGUGGCUACAAAACUUACAGAUUUGAUUGUUGGUUUUUGCCACAAAAAUAUAAUGCCUUGGCUACGAAAUAUUUUGUAUACAUUUAUUAUAUAUAAUUAUUUGGCUAAUGACAUUAAAAAUUUUAAUAUGAUAUUAUUCUUUUUUAAUGGACAAUUUAUUGAGUUAUUAAAUUUAAAAGAAUUUAUCUCAAACUAAUAAAGAAUUUAAACGUACUAGCAUAAACUUUAGCACUAAAAAAGAACAAUCAUAUUAUAAGUAAAUAUAAAAGUACACAUAAAAUAAAAUACAUAUAAAUCAAAUAGACACAAAAGUUAAGGCCACACCAAUUAGUUUUUCAUCGAACCAUAAAAGAACCAUAUAAGGCUAGUUGACAAAUCUGCAUGGUAAUAACAAGUAAAAUAAGUCCAAAAUGCAUAUAAUUAAGAUGAGGAAAUCAUGAUUGAGGUAGUUGAACAUAUUGCAACCUUGAAGUAGUAGCAUGAUUGGAUAAAUAAGAGCUAAUGAGAGCCUUAAAUUGGUUAAGCCUACUAGACAAAUCACUAAGGGUAGUCUUAGUGUUUUGAAGUUCAAUCUUUGUUUCUUGAAGCUCAAUCUGAGUGGCUUGAAGUUCUGUCUUUGUUGACUCUAACUCAUUGCGCAAUGCUGAGGCAUUUUAAUUAGACGUUGCCUAUGAACAAGGUGGUAGCUUACACAAUCAAGUCCAGAAAGGUAACCGUAUUUCUUACCAUACACUAAUUGAGAUAAUUGUUCAUUGCUUAGUGGCUCAGACGCUCUUGUGGUUGGACUAUCUUCUCCAAGAAAUAAUAAUAAUAAUAAAGGAAACAUUAUUAAUUUGAAAUAAAUUAAUUAGUGUAGAAAUAAAUUUAAAAUUUCAACAAAUUCUUACUUCUUGACUGAGCCUCAACAUUCACCCAUUCUUUAUUGGCGUUGUAAUGAGUUUCAUGAAAUAAAUCAAGGUUUGUAUCUCGCCACUCUUAUUUUACUAUUCAAAACAAAUGCAUAAAAAUAUAAUAUAUUAUAACACACACACACACUAGCUAUGUUAAAAGAAUUACAAUUAAAAUUAUCACCUUAGAGUUCUCCUCAGAUGAGUAAUAAAUGACUUAGAUCCCCACGAUGAUUAUACAAUAAUUUUUUCUUAUUUUCAGCAUUUAUCUUACAACCAGCCUAAAAUGCAUACACCGGGCGUAAAGUAUUGGCCACGGGUUGNNNNNNNNNNNNNNNNNNNNNNNNNNNNNNNNNNNNNNNNNNNNNNNNNNNNNNNNNNNNNNNNNNNNNNNNNNNNNNNNNNNNNNNNNNNNNNNNNNNNAGUACUUGACCACCAAUAUCACCAUAAAUCUAAUUCUCAGAAUGGUCAAAACAACGAAGAUAGGAAACAAUCUAAUUCUAGAGUUGCAAAAUGACAAACAUCACCAUCAUAGCUAAAAAUUGAAGUGCAUGUUGUAUUUUUAUCUGAUAACAAGUAUUAAGACAUUGCAGUGAAAGAAAAAUAAAUAUAAGAAUAACUUAAAAGUAUGGAAUUCUUUUUAACUACUUACAAAAAGAUUCCAAAAUCAAUUAAUUGGCCCUAGGCAUUAGCAUCUCAGAAGAAGGAAAAAAAAGAAAAAUAAAAAUUAGUUUUUUCAAUAAAAUAAAUUUGGAAGGCAUGUCCAUUAUAUUUUUAAUGUAACACUCCAUAAGAAACAAAACAUAUGCACUUCAUGUUAUAGCAUAAUUAUUUUCAAUUCUUCUCCAAUAAACUUUGAAAAUCAAUAAAUUGGCCUCUGGCUUCACCAUCUCAAAAUUGAGAAAAGAAAUUGAGUUUCUUCAAGUAAAUAAACAAAUUAAUUUUGACAGCAUGUCCCCUAAAUUUCACAUAUAAACACUCAAUAAGGCACAAACAUAUGCAUUUCAUACUCAUAACACAAUUACAUUCAAUUGCACAAAUAAUAUACUUUCACAAUUAAAUAAUCAACCAAUUGGCCUCAGGACUCAUGACCAUCUCCAAAAAAAAAAAAAAAGAAAAAAGAAAAAAAAAGUUUCUACAAGUAAUACAUUCACUUUCAAGCUUUUAAAACACAUAUAUAUACAUUCGUAUAUAAAUUUAUACCUGAUACUCUUUAUCAUGCCAAAUAUCAUAUAAGUAAUCCCAAUCAGCUUGAGAGACCUUGCUUUGGGGAUUUCUACGUGCCUCCUGGUUUGAUGUGAACUCAUUAUAUUUCAACUUUAGCUUAUAGCGAUAACCACGAUAAUGAUCAGCCAUGAUAUCAUUCACAUAAAGAACCACAUGCUCUAGCUCCAAGUCUAAGUUAAUUUUAUUCUGAAUUAGAUAAAUUUAAAAAAGGGCAAUUAUUCGCUGACCACUUAUUUUUUUUGCAUUUUUUAAAAAAUACACAAUUCUUAAUUUUUUUUUAUGAACUCCACUCAAAGUUAUAUUAUUUUGCACUUAUCCACUUCCGUCUUCAAACUGUUAAGAGAACUAACGGAAUAUUGUAUAAAUGACUUUUUUACCCCCAAAUGUAAAAGAGCAAUUAUCCAUCGAUCACUUUUUUUUUUCGCAUUUUUUGAAAAAUACACAAUUCUUAAUUUUAUUUUUGCUGAACUCCACUUAAAGUUAUAUUGUUUUGCACCUAUCCACUUCUGUCUUCAAAUAUGUCAUUGUGAAAUGAUAAUUUUACCCUUAUAAUGUCAGCAAAGUUCUAAUAGUGUUAUAACGAGAGUGGACCAGUGAAAAAAAUGUUAACUUUUGGUGGAGCGCUGCCAAAAAAAAGAUUUGUAUAUUUUUGAAAAAGUUAGAAAAAUAGCUGGUCGGUAGAUAAUUACCUCUAAAAAAAUCAAACUUAUAAAAAAUUAUGAACACAAAGCACUAGUCAGAGAUUUAUUGAAAAUAAAAAGUGAAUAUACCAAAAGUAGUGUGAAUAACCCCAUCCUAUCGAUCCAAGGUGUUUGUUUCCAUGACUUAACAUUCAAUGGAGCAUGGUUACGAAUGAUAGUACCACACUCGCUGUCUAGUUUAGAUGAAAGAGGUUUGGUUGCUUUUUUAUGCUCAGUAGAGAUUGUUAAAACCACCCGACUUGAUAACCGGGCAAUGUAAUCUGGACCUUUACGUCGUGUAGGACCACAUCCUUUUUUUGUUGGUAGAUGUAAGCCUAUAUACAUUUGAAAUAUAAAAAGUUAGAACUAUAAACAAAAAUAAAACUCGAUAAGUAUGAUUAAUUAUGUACUACUACUACUAUGAUUUUCGAAUAUGCCGGUUGCUUUCAAAUCAACAUUAAGACUUUCAUCUAAAAAAAAAUUGGUUGUGGUUGUGCUCGUGAUCGUUUCUGUCCCUUUAGAGCCAUUUGAAAUAUAUAAUAUUAUGAUUAGUUCAUAUUACACUUAUUUCACAUUUAAAAAAAUAGAUGAUAAGAAUAUGUCAAUUUACAAUUAAGCAUAAAAAUAAAUAUGUACCAUAAACUAACAUAUUUCAUAUUCAACAUCUGUAUCAUCUUCAAAUUCAAUUGAUUUUUCAACAUUAUCCAUACUACUUGCAUCAUCCUCAUUUAUGGUAUCACAAAUGAAAUCAUCUUUUUAUAUUUGUAGUACUUCCACAUUAACCUCGAUUAGAAUAGCAUCAUCUUUAUUGAAAUUAUGAUCCAAUUAGCUUCUUCAACUAUAAAAACCCCAUGGUCAAUUGAACCACUUUGUUGAUACUCUUUUUGUUCUUGUACAUCUUUAUCUUUUCAUCAUUUUCUUGAACAUCCCACACACUUAUAAGUUGUACCUUCUCCACUACCUUCCACCCUUCACCACGUUUAAGAUUAGCAAUAUACAUUACUUGUCGUGCUUGAGAUGCAAGCACAAAAGGAUCUUUAUUGUACCAUGUUUGAGUCACAUUAAUAGAGGUAAGAUGGUAAUCCCGUAUCACUCUUUUCCUCUUAGGGCCAGUAUCAAACCAUUUACAUAUAAAUAAAACAACUCAAAAAUUAGAAAUAUAUUGUAAUUUAAUGACAUCUGUCAACACUCCGUAGAAAUCAAUUUGGUCAUUAUCAUGUUCACCAGGUAUAACCUUUCCACUCUUUUGAGUUGAAGGUCUAGCAUCUCGCUCUUCUACACGAUAUCGGACUCCAUUAACAUUACAUCCCGAGUACCAAAAAACCUUAAGGUUAGGUCCAUAAGCUAAUGAAUACAGUUGGCCAUUUACUUCAAUAGAUGCUUGACUAUGAAAAUGCUUCAUCUAUACACAUUUCAAAUUAAACAAGAUUAAAUUUCUAUAAAAAUAGUUAUUGUAUUCAAUUUAAAAUUUUUAAAUUUUUUAUAUAUAAAUAAGCCACUUACAUGUUAAGCAAACCAUUUUGGAAAACGUUGUUGUAUUUCAAUUAAGUUUGUAACUCCUUUUGUGAGGUACAAUUUUCUUAAAUAUAGUAGAACUUAUUUUUAAGCUAACAAGCUCCUUGAGUUUAUAAUAUUUAAUUUUAAGGAAUGAUGACAUAAGUAAUGACAUAAGAAAUGAUGACGUAAGUGAUAACAUAAGCGAUGAUGUAAGGAGAAGUGUAGGGAAAGUUAAACAAUUCUAGAAUUUAGCAAGUUAUUUAUGAAGGUUAAUCUCAACCAUUGAUGAAGAGUUAUGGUGGCAAAAUCCAACCCAUCCAUUAGCCUUAAGAAAUUCUAUAAAUACCCCCUACCACCUCUCAUUUGAAAUGUAACCUAGAAAUUUCAUUCCCUUAUAUUCUAAGUCAUAAUAACAAGAGUAGAGGAAUCCUUAGCUUAUAAAGGUUUUGAGAAUCAAGAUCAAAAGGUAAGUAACACUUCAACUGCAAUGUAAGGAGAAAUUAUUUUUAUACUUAAGUUUAGUUUUAACAAUACAUUUAUAUUAUGAUGGCUAUUAUAGUGUGAUUAGUUAUAUUCUAAAUCUUUAUAUGGUCGGCCCUGCCGCUUAAUAUGUGAUGCUAUGGUCGGCUUUGCCGCCUAAUAUAUGAUGCUAUGGUCGGCUCUACCGCCUAAUAUGUGAUGUCAUGGUCGGCUCUGCCGCCUAAUAUUGUGAUGUCAUGGUCGGCUCUGCCGCCUAAUAUGUGAUACUUAUACUAAAUUAUGCUAUGAUGAUUGUGUGUUGAUUUUGUUAUGCAUUGAGGAAUUUCAAAUGUUAUAAGUUGCAUUGAAUGCAUGCAUAUCAUGGACUACAUUAUGAAGAAGACGUUUCAAAAAAUAAAUUUAUGGAAAAAUAGAUGGUUGUACUACCAGGUGGCAAAGUUCUAAAGAGGGCAAGCCUUCAAAGCUAAGUUGAAAGAAACCUUUUGGGGAUGGCGAUACGUAAUGCCCAAAAGAUCAACUAAUGAGGCCCAAGGGCAUAAUGUUUAAAGAGUAAAAGUGCCAGCCUUGUAGUGCAACAUACGUAGGGCCCAAACAAAGUUGUUUUGUAUUUUCUAAGUUUAUUUUAAGAGCUUAACAUGGUCAUCCAUAUGCAUUAGAGUGUUAUCGUACUAGGCAUUAGCUCACUAAGUCCUUACAUUGUAGGUAACGAUGAGUAGGGCAAGCUGACGCCAAGUCCUAACCAAGACGAUGUGCAUAUGGGCAUAACCGACCUUGAGAUUUUAUGAUGGGCUCAGCUUUGUGUUAAUAAAAAUAAGUAUCUUGGCUUUAUGUAAUAAUUAAGUUUUUUUAAAAUAAACUAAGAAAUCUCUAUAUGACUUUUACUUUUCUGUAAAAAGUUUUGUUGGAUUGUGCUAAACUUUUAGAAUUCGUAUUUAUAUUAAGAGUAACUGUGUUUUUAAGCAUUUUUAAGUAAAUAAUAUAAUGGAGUGUUACACCUUUUGCUUGUAAUAAAUUUAUAUGUUCACUGCGAAUAAUAAUUGAUAGUAAAUAAAACUUUCUACUAUAAUUACAUAAAUGAAACGAUGUUUUAAAUGCACUUACUCUAAAUACAGUUGCACUUCCUCACAAUUAUUUAAGAUAUAUCAAUGAGCCUUAUCAUCUUUUGUCGUGAUAAUUCUUUUAACAUAACUUUGCCAAAAGGUUGAGCAUUUUGAGAGAAAACUAAUAUGCCCUCUACUCGUUCUCCACCAUCAUCAUUACGCUCAAUCCGAUUGAAUUUUGUUUCAGUUUGCUAAAGAUACAUUGACCAAAAAGUCAAUGACUCAUUAACAAUUUAUGCUUCAGUAAUUUAACCUUCAGGAUGAGCUUUGUUGCUUACGUAAGAUUUAUAUUCUCCUAAGUUCUUAUCAAGGUAGAAAUUAUUGUAGUUGAAUAUCCAUCUAAAUGAGACAGGGCCACCAUAUUUUGCCUCUUGAGGUAAAUGCGGCCAAAUGCACCAUUAUAUUAAAAAAUACAAUAGGAAAUGCAUUUUCAAGCUUACAAUGAGUCAGGAUAAUUCCUUUUUUCAAGAACAUCGAAAUCAACUACAGUAACUGUUUUUGUGCUCAAUUGUCUAAAGAAAUUGCAUAACUCUACAAUUGUCGUGCAAACAUCUUUUGGUAGAUAAGGCUAUAUUCUUAUUGGAAGCCGGCGUUCCAAUAAGACAUGCAAUCAUGACUCUUUAAGCCUGAUAGGCUUCCUUAAUUCAUAUUCACACACUUGGCUAUAUUUGAUGCAUAUCCGUUUAGAAAUUUCACUAACUUUAAGAAUUGACAAAACUUAAUCCUUUCAUCUAAAUUUCACUAGUUUGUUGCCUUGAGUUGUAAGAUGCAACUCUUUUCUAAUGUUAAUAUCCUGUAAAUCUAAUCUUGCUUUAAUAGUGCCUUUUGUCUUACCAUUAAUAUCCAACAAUGUUCUAACAAGGCUUUCACGUAUAUUCUUCUCAAUAUGCAUCACAUCAAGAUUAUGAAAAAGUUUAAAAGUUGGCCAAUACUUUAACUUAAAGAAUAUGCUUUUCUUGGUCCAGUUUAACUUUUCUAAUUAUAGUUUUCUAUUCCCUAUAUUAGAUUGUUGAGCAUGUAUUUGUGGACCAUAUUAUCAUGUAGAAUAUCAUACAUCUCAUCAUUUUCUUCAAUAUUAUCAAUAUUUGCAUCCUCAACAAAAUUUAUUUCCAUUUCUAAUUCAUUUGAUCUAUUACCUAAACCAGAUUCAUAAUAAGAACUAGAUUGAUAAUACCGGGAAAAGAACUACCAUGUGAUCUACAAAGAGAUUUUGGCGGUAAAGUAUGGAAUCAAAAAUUUUGAAUUUCAUCUAAUCAGCCAUAAAUUCCUUAUCAACAUGGACAAUUCCUCUUUUCCUAGAAUCUUUGAUUUCAAAAACAAAUUGCUUCCUGACAAGCAAUUGCUAAACCUCAAAACUUGGUUCUCUAAAUAUGACUUUACUGUCCAGCACAUCAAAGGUAAACAGAACCUCAUCCCAGACUUCCUUACAUGCCCGUUUAUAAAUAAACCCUCACUCCUCUCUUCAACUUAUAUCAUCCCAGUUAUAGCCAUGAAUCGACAACUUCCUUUCAAAGCUCUCAAUUAAAGAUCUUUUCCCAUGAACAUUCCUUUUUCUUCAGCCUACCAAAUCCAAGACUUUGCUAAGAAAUUCCUUUACAUGUAUUUAUUCAAUGUCCACAAUAAGACUCCUGAUCGUUUUUCUACACUAUGUAUGGAAAAUCUGUUUCUCACAGGUCUCACCUUGUCUAUCUCAAAAGAUGAGUUAUGGUAUAUGUGGUGUCUCACAGCCUUGUAUGCUACAAAACUGGUCUUUCCUGUUAAACCAGUCCUCCGCCACAUCACCACUCCUAGAAUGGUAUUCACCCCUCACAUGGUGGCGUAAACAGCUCCAGAAUCUGUGUACUUUUCACAGAUUAAAUAGGAUGCCAGAACACGAAGCAAACAUGUUCACCAUAGCUUUCAUUGUUCACCGGCCAUAUUUUCAACACCCAAAAACCAAAGACUUCUGGACUCAAGACAUGGCUUAUGAAUGGAAAACUUAUCCCCAUCAUUAUCUUUUCAUCCAUGAUACAUCAGUCACAUCUGUUCUUCAAGCUUAUCUCAUGGAACUCAACAAUGUUCAACCACCUGCCACAAAUAUCCACCACACCUCUGUCGGACCCUCACACAGCUUGGAAAUAGUUCCAAAGACACAGACCUGUACUCCAGGUUCAAGUUCAAGUUCAAGUCCACAUGGAAUUCUUGUCAUGAAGUAACGUCCUGUCUUGUCUAAAGUUUUCUUUUGCUUUUCUAAGUUUGGCAUGGUGUGCUUUAGUGCUUUAUUGCUUUCAUAAUUAUGUUUCUACUUUUGUAAAAGAUAAGGGUCCCACCUUAUCUCUUUCCUCCUCGAGAUCUCUAUAUAAGGAUCUCUCUCUCCUUUUGUAAUUUAGGAGUUAAUCAGAAAUAAAAUACAGUUUUCUUAUAUCAUAUUUCUCUAAACUCUUUCUAUCUUCUAUGAGUCAAGAAAUUUAUUUGGAAUUUCUAAUGAUACCACCUCUGCGAGGGACGGUUGGCUCUGAUACCACUAGGGUAGUUGUACGUGGCGUUGUUACACCAGAUCUAUGACAGAACAAAGUCUAUCCUUAGGGCCAGUAGCCCGCACGUUCUGGUUUCCAGCGGAUAUACACUUAUCCAUCAAGUACCAAAUCCGAAAAUCAUAUUGAAAACAGUUUUUCACGAUACCACCCGAAAACACGGCACUCGUGGCCUUAAAGAGGGUGAACAUUGUGAGAAAACAAUUUUGUUUUACAAAAAUCAAUUUUGGAGGAUAAAAAUAGGACCUUUCUGAUGCACAGAAUCCUUUAGGCUUAAGGCAAGUGCAAAGCAUACUCAAUAUGGAAAUUAGAGGUGAACGUAUCCUUAUUAUUUCAAAAUUUUCGCCAUGAAAAACCUAUCUCUUAUAGCUAAAUGAAAUACCGGGUUUGUACAAAUGAUCUUCAACUACAUCUAAAGAUUUCAAAAAAUCAUUUUGACAAUUUUGACAUGGACAAUGAACCAUAUUAUUUUGAUCCACACAUUUUCUACAACUUUCAUAAUUGACUUAACUCCAUCAAUAUACUCAUUAGAAAGUCUUUCUGGAAGUUUCAUCCAACUUUUAUUCAUUCUUUAUCUCUUCACCAUAAUAUGUAAAUUGCUAUUAAAGUUUCCAACAAGUUAUAAAUGUUGUUGACACAAUUUUGAUACUAUAUAAAUUAAACUAUUAAAGAAAAAUCAUUUUUCAAAUAUUGUGUCAUAUUAAAUAUUUAUCUUCUAUUAAGAAAAGUGUUAAAAAAAAGAGAAAGUGUGUAUCACUUACAGAAUCUAAACUUGUGGUUUCAAUUGAUGCAAAGUGUAGUUUCAAUUGAAGCUUUAUCAUAGCUCCUAUACAAGUUGAAAAAAGUAAAUUAAUUGUAAAAACAAUAGUAAAAUACAAAGCUAUGUAAAUGGCAAUCAACAAAAUGAUGAAUAUCUUAUUGCAUCUUAAUAGUGUUCGUCAAAUCUUGAAUUUUAUAAAAAAUGAUAAUUAGUUAGCAACUAAAAAAAGAACUUUUUCCACUUAUUCAAUUGAUAAUGUUUCUAAAGAGGUGAAAUCUAUAGCAAGAAGACAAUUUAAAAUUGGUAAACAAACAAAAUCAUAAAAAUAAAUUCAGCACCUGAAGGAUUCUAUUUUUGAAGAUCAAAUGCUUGGCAUAUAGCAUAUACUUGUUUGACUAGUUUAUAUUUUUACAUGCAAGAAAUAGUAAUAAAAAGAAUGUUGCCUAACAUGUAUACAAUCAAAAUCUGAGUAAUAAGAUUAUCUGAAUCCUUAUUAGUUUUAUUUCUCCUACUAUUUUUUUUACUGUAUAGUUUCAAAAUUAACCAAAAUUGUAAUUUCACAUCUAUAUCAUCUUUAACUCAAAAUAGCAAUUUUGAGUUCCACUAAUAAAUUGUAAGAACAUGAAAAAAAUUUAAAAUUGUCAAGUGAAUUUUUCCUCAAGGAAAAUCAUGAUAUAAUAUUAGUUUUUAACAUAUAAGGAACUGCAAAAAGUGCUAGAAAUUUUAAGUAUAUGAACUUCUAGUAAACAUUAGUAACUUUUUCUUUUUUAAAACAUGGAGCAGAGCAUAAAUAUUUAUGCGUUAAAAAAAAAACAGAUUACACUUAAAACCGUUUUAAUUUUUUCAACAACACAUGAGACUUUCUUCCCUAUUUUGUCUCAAUGUUUUAACUUUUUAAAACAAGCAGCAAAAUAGUUUCAGCCAUCAAAUAAUUCAUCAUAACGAGAUAAAAACAAGAGAACAAGAAAAAAGAAUGAGAUCCGCUAGAUGUUAUUUUAGAAUCCUUUGUUGAUGUCCUCAAUUCUCUCUCUUGAUCUUUGUUUAUUCUUGUUUGUUUCUCUAUUAUUUUUCUCUAAUGAUGGCCUUCUCUUUUCUUUGCAUGUGUGCUCUUUUUAUAGUUUAGAAUUAGGGCAACCGAAAGCCUAGGGCGUGCAUCUUCCAGUUUAGGAAACUCUAGAUCGCUAUCUUCUCAAUAUCUCGCAUGAAAUCUUCUCUAUCGUUGCUCCAGAAUUGCUACAGCAAUAGUGCUACAACAUUAGCUUCAACAUCUGCAAUGUUCCAAACUUGUUUCAAUUCUUCUCUAACCAAGUUAUUUCCUUAUCUUUACAAGCCUAUUGCAGCCGCAUUUUUUCCUUGAAAUUUGAGCUUCCGGUCACCUACAAUUAUGCAUAUGAUCUAAGCACAAAAUUCAUUCUAAAUCAAACAAAACUUAUUAAAAGUAAACUAAAAUGGAUGUUUAUGCAAAACAUCACUAAAAUGCAAUAAAAACAUGUCAUUUACUCUCUAAGUAAUCUUGAUUUAUCUAAAAGUGCCAUGAUAACUCUCAUUUCAUAGAGUUAUCAAUAAUCCUUCAGUAAAUCUUGAUAAAACUCUUGAACUCUCUUAAUAUUUGAUGAGGAAAUAUCACCAUAAAUUAUAGGAAAAUAAUAUUCAACUAACUUCAUUUUAUAUCUUGGAUCCAUCAUUGCUACAAUUGCUAAUAAUUCAUUAACAUCCUUCCAAUAUUUAUCAAAUUUUAAUAUCACUUUAGAUGCCAUUGUUUUCAUCUCCAUACAAGUAGAACCAAACAACUCUUUCAAUGACAACCUAAUGUUGUGCAAAUUUUAUUGAACUCGCAAGCGCACGAAUCUAUUGUAGAAUAGACUAAUGGUGUCGAGUGUCGAUCCCACGAGGAGGUGGAUUUUAAUUGUGUAGAAUUAAUUUUUUAAAUGGGUGGUUGGAUUUGUGGUGAAAAUGAUUUGGAUUAUCCUAAAAUUGGAAUUGAAAUGGCGAGAAUAAAUUCUAAAAUUGUAAUUGAAAUGGCGAGAAUAAAUUGAAGAGAAAUCUAUUGAGAUGACGUACUUGGGUAUCUGGAUCCGUAUCAACAUGCACCAUGGGCUAAAUAUUCCUUAUUAAUACUAAUUAAAUCAUGAGGGGGGAAUCCACACCUCAUGAACCACACUCUAAUCAAUAUGGUGCUAAGGGCUUAUCGUGCCAAAUAAUAAUAACGUUAUAGUAGAGAGCCGGUGUAACCAAGGCGGUAUUUAGACAAGAUUAUUAUUAUUUGUCGACGAGAAUUCAAAAAAUCCACAAAAACUAGAGGGAAAGAGAAAAUAAAUUUACCAAAUUAAGCCCAUGACACAUGUUGAGACUUUACCUUCAACCCAAGCUUGAAAGAAAAUUAGCUACUCAUAAUUGAACUAGGGACAAAAUGGAAAUUUAUUAAAAUACGUAGAAAAUAUAAGAUGGAGAAGGAAUUACAGAGAAUGGAUCCCAAAAAUGGAUUCAAAGCUAUCAAAUUAGGGGGGAGAGGCCCCAUUUUUAUAGAUACAUGGAGUAAAUUAUGGCCAUCGGAUUAAAAACAGUUUGGACGCUCAUGAUUGCGCCACAUCAUUAGUCAACAGUACGCGGUUUGACCACGCGGAUGAACAGUAACACGGUUUGACCUAGGUUGAACAGUGACGCAGUUUGGUUAAAAAUAAUCUUGUGUGAUGCAUGUACCGUACACGAGAUUUUUCGUCCACUGAUAUGCUGCCACGUCACCAUCAACAGUACAUAAGAAUUUUAGCCCAACAGGAUCAUGACACCUCAUCGGUCAAUUCCACGUCAUCGAUCCGUCUAUGUGAACAUUGUCAUGAACAGUAACGUAGACAGUACCGUACACGUGAAUAGUACCGUACAUGUGAAUAGUGCCAUUUUUCCUUUAAUGCUCUCCCUAAGGUUUUCGAUCGUCCCGAGUUCAAAAGUGAUGUCUGUUUUGCCGUCUAAUCUCUCGUUUAUUGUGAAAUGAUCAUGAUGCCCCUAAAAUACAUAAAAUACUUAAUUAAAAUCAAACACACAUAAUUAAAUUGCAAGAAGCUUAAAUACAUAAAAGUAAGGGUUGUUAGUAAAACUUGAAAUGUAAAAUUAUGAUUUUCUGCUUUAUAAAUAUACAUUUUCUAACACUCAACACACCCCCCAACUAGCUUAUUGCUAGUCUCUAGCAAAUAAAGUGAAAACGAAAUUCAAAUCCAAAAUGAUUUUUUUUUUUUAGGAACACUCGUGUUUAUUCAAUCAGAUUAAUGAUAGCAAUCAAAUAAAAGUAUAAGCAUUAUCUCCAGUCUAAAGAAACAUCACACCCAUAUCAACCAUCCACAUGAAUCAGCCCAGUAGACUUUGUUAUAGCUACUUUCAAGAAUGACAUGUCAAACCCCAAAAUCUCACUGGAAGUAGUGACACUCUCAUAAAGAAAUUAAAACCAAUAAAAAUAGUCACUCCAAUGAAUGGUAAUUGGGAGAGAAAAUAAUAAAGAAGUGAUAUCACAUGCUCUCACCAAGAUGAAAUAAAUAUGCCCUCAGCUUAGAAAUAAUACGAUCUCAAGUCAAACAAAAAUGCUAGUCAAUCUAAUUUAUUUAUCUUUUUUUUAUAAUUAUGCAUCACUACAUCUUUUUAGCCCAUAUAACUAGCUUCUACUUCAGACUAUAGUUCCCUAAAAUCAAGAAGGACUUUUAUUAGGACGUAACGUAGGCUAGGGACAUGGUUAACAACGAAGGGAAAUAAGGAAAACAAAAUGUAUGUUUGAAAAAAAUGCAGAGGGAUUUUUUUUUUUGGAAGUUGCAAGGUGGAUUUCAUCUAUUAUUGUUAUUUUUUUUCUUCUUUUUUUUAAACAAAUUUUUUUUUUGCUUUUGCUUGGCACAACGUCACUGAAUAAAAUAAUUAUUUACAUUUUUCUCAAACAUAAAUAAGUGAUGGAACUUAUAAGACAUCGGGUAAUACUCCAAAUCAGAGUGGGUUAAGAUGAUAAGUUUAACAAAUAAAAGGUUUUUUUUUUUAAAUGCUCAAAAGGGUUAACUAUGGAUACUUGAUAAAAGGGAUGGCUAAAAAGGCUCAAACGGAUCAAAGAUGGCCUUUCCAUCGUCUUUUAGGGCUCUAAAUAAUCUUCCAUAUCUACUAGUUAGAUGGGCCUCCAAAUGUAGCAACACACAUUUUUUUUCUUUUAUUUUAUUUUAUUUUAUAAUUUUUUAAGGGUUAACUCAAAAGAAAUCUAGAGAUCGUGUAUAAAAUAAUAAACUGCUAAGCUGUAUAAAGAGUGGGCAAAAUGAUUACUCUCCAAGAAAAAUAAUAGGCUAAAAAAUUCACGUGGUACUUAUUUAUGACAUGUUCAUUCCUUCAAGCAACUCAUAUUUAUCUCCGACAUCAACAUGUAAAGUAGCAAACAUGGCGUAACAUCACUUAAGACCAAAGAUAAUACAAAUACUAAAAUUUAAAAUUAAUCAUGUCAUCCAAUGUUAAAACAAAUCACACAAAAAUUUUUAUUUUUUUUUAAAACAACAUUCUACCCCCCAACCUAUUCUAAAUAUGAAAGGAAAAUCCGCAUGCAGAAAUGUGAAAAUGAUGCAGAAAAACUAAUUAGAAAAGUUACACUUAAAAUUAUAGAAAAAGAAAUUUUUAUUUUAUUUUAUUAUUUUUAUUAUUAUUACUAAGAAGAUGCGUUUCUAGAGGCACUACACUACAUAUUCAGCCAUCUUCGACUCAAAAAUAUAUAUUUAUAGAGGAGAAAUUAAAAAGAAGAAGAAAAAUGAACAUCAAAACUUAAUAAAGAAAAAGAUUUUUUUUUAUUUUUUUUCAAACAAUGAAGAUGCGUUUCUAGAGUCACUACACUCCAUAUUCAGCCAUCUUCAACACAAAAAGUUAGCAACAAUUAGUUUUUACAAUAAAAAAUCAGUAAAAACUUAACCAAGAUUCCACAAUUGUCGACUAUUCCCUCCCCCCAACCAGAACGAAACAUUGUCCUCACUGUUUAAAAGGAAAGAAGUAGAGUUUAGAAGACAUCACCUGGGUGGUACAACACAGAAGAAAAUAUUUACAAGUGGAGAGUUAAAUCUAAUUUGUACUUCUUACUGCGGCUACUGUUGCCAUCAUUAUUUGGACGCUCCAACACAAAGGUCCAGGGGUCUGGCUCCAGUUUAUAAGCUUGUAACAGAACAAGUAGCUCAUUAGCAGUGUUAGCACAAAUAAAAAGCUUUUUCGCAUUGGAAGGAAUGAAAUAGUUUUUUAUUGCAUGGUUAAGAAAUGCGAUAAAGCCAUCAUAAAAAUUAUUGACAUUUAACAAACCGAUGUGUUUCUGGUGAAUGUGCAGAUAGGCCCAAACUGCUAGUGUGAUAAGUGCCUCUAGUGUUGCAAGAUCUCCUGGAAGGAAAAUAAAAGCAUCAGCAUGAUUAAGCAUUUCAGUUAUUCUUUCUUGCAUACCUGAGACGACUAACUCUUCUCCAGUCGAUGAGUCAGACAAACUGCCCAAAAGUUUUAGGACUCUUGGGAUGGUGUCUAACACUUGACUUCCUCUGACAAAAGUUGCUUCUGAGACCAUUUUUGAUAACCCUCGAUUACCUCCUCCAUACACCAAGUGUAAUUUUCUCGCUGCUAUGCUUCGACCAAGAUCUAUGGCUGCCUCAACGAACUCUUUAUAUUUGCCAUAGUUAAAUCCAGAAAGCACACAAAUGUUCUUGAAUUGUCUAUUGGGAGUAGCUACCAUUAUAAUACUUCUCAAAAAUAAUUUGUGAGUGCUUGACAAAAAAGAAAUCACAUUUAAGAAUCUUGGUGAUAGUGGAUCACAGUUGUGUAUGAGGUAACGUCUCAGUGUCAAAUACUCGUAAAGCACAUGGCUCGAGAGUAAAAAAGGAAACAGUAAAAAGGAAAAAGCAAACAUUAAUAAAAUUAUUAAAGACAAUAAUACAAAUAAUAAAACAACAGUGAAAUAAAAUAACAGUAAAGUAAAAGGAUAUUUACAGGUAGUUGCAACUGUGGCUCACAUUUUCCUCUGGUUUUACGUCUAGAAACGGCUUGAACGCCCUCUAUAAGUCGAGGAUAGGCUUCCCAUCCAGUUUUCUUAUAAAUUGGCAAACAGGGUCGUUUAUAGUCAGAUUCCCGAGACUAUAUCGUGCAUGCUCUUUCUGGAAUAAUGGCCAUAACUGGAGAAUCGCUCCUUGCACAUAUCCACUAGGAUGCGUUUCAAGAGACAAAAGGAUAUCAUCCAAUGACUCCUUAUUCAAGCCAUCCCUAAUGAAUUGAAUCUUAUCUUCCCUGUUAUCAGACACCAUUCCUAAAGAACAUGGGUUUUUAUUGCAACUCAUUCUGGCACACUUAUGAUAAGUAACAGAAAUUCUUCGAGCUCGUCGUUUUCUUGCAUAAUUUCCUUUACCACAACCAGGCAUGUAUGCAAUAAAUGUUGGAGGUAACUCACCUGCCGAUCGUACUUUAGCCUCGAUUAACCAACGGAUGUCAGCAAGUAUGUUAUUCCUCAUGAGUAAUCGCAUACGUUCGGACCGAGCUUUAUAGAUCGUAAGGAGGGCAUUCUGAGGAAGUGAAGGGAAUCGCUUGUGAAGCUUCGUUAGAAUGUCGUUUCUGUCCAUACUUUCGCCUCAGAAUAUUAGUUAUUAUGGGAAACUGAAGUAACCGACUUGAUUCUCACGGAGUACCGUUAUCCGCCACUUCACCGGGGUAACAAACUAAAGCACACAAAUAGAAAAAUAAAUUAAAACACACAAAGAAAAUUAAAAUCGCCCUCUUAUUGAAUUUACCUCAAGCUCCAACUGGAUGUCGUAAACACUUCUCUCAAUGUCUCUGAGUUGGCUUUCUAAACCCUCAACAUAGGCUAUUGACUCUAGUGGCUGUAGAGCCCAAAUGCGAUGUGUUUUACAAAAUUGAAUCUGCCUUUUGAGAUGAGUUUUGACACGUUGAAGUGGUUUAAGAAUGUUCAGGAGGAACGGUCUAAUGUACUCAUGAUUAAAAAUGAUAAGAGAAAACUUAAUAGUUAAACAAACACACUUAUGCAAAAAUAAUUUCAAUUAGCAAAGAAUAAUAAAAAGAAAGAAAGAAAAAUCAAAUCAACGAAAAGAAAAAAAAUCAAUUCAAAUCUGGUGGGUCACUCAAAUUUAUUUCGGUGUCUUCUCCAUGUGAUUGGUACUCUAGAUAUGGCUUUAAUCUUUGACCAUUAACUUUAAACGUGACACCGUUCUUUGGGUCCUUAAUUUCAAUUGCUCCAUAUGGAAAAAUAGUAUGUACAAUAAAUGGGCUAGACCAACGAGAGCGUAACUUACCUGGGAAUAGGUGCAAGCGAGAAUUGAAUAAAAGCACUUUCUGCUUUCUGACCUGGAGUGAAAGAUUUUCUCAUAAUUUGCUUGUCAUGGAAGACUUUCAUCCGUUGCUUGUAAAUCUUGGCAUUUUCGUAUGCGUCAUUGCUAAUUUCUUCAAGUUCUCCCAGUUGUAAUCUUCUUUCUGAGCUGGCUUGUUGCAUGUCAAAGUUGAAUUUCUUGAUGGCCCAAUACGCACGAUGCUCGAGUUCCACAGGUAGGUGGCAAGCUUUUCAUACACUAGUCUGUAGGGUGACAUCCCAAUCGGGGUCUUGAAAGUCGUUCUAUAUGCCCAUAAGGCAUCAUCAAGUCUUAAUGACCAAUCUUUUCUGUCUGGCCUCACCGUCUUUUCUAAUAUGUGCUUUAUUUCUUGAUUGGAGAUCUCAACUUGGCCACUAGUUUGCGGAUGAUAUGGGGUCGCCACUUUGUGUGUGAUUGAAUACUUUGUUAAAAGAGCUUUGAAUGCUUUGUUAUAAAAGUGGGCACCACCAUCACUGAUUAUUGCUCGUGGGAAUCCAAAGCGUGAAACAAUGUUGCUUUUCAAAAAUCCUAUAACCACCUUGUGAUCAUUGGUUCUGCAUGGAAUUGCUUCUACCCAUUUCAAUACAUAGUCAACAACAACCAAUAUGUAUUGAUGGCCAAAAGAAUGGGGAAAGGGUCCCAUAAAGUCGAUACCCCAUACGUCAAAAAUCUCAACCACUAAAAUUGGAUUUAGUGGCAACAUAUUCCUUCGUGUAAUGCAGGACAGACAGUGUAAGUAUCUCGAAAUAUAGUUGGCCAAUAGAAACCAGAUUGUAAAACUUUAGUUGUUGUUUUCUUAGCACUGAAAUGACCUCCACAAGCUUAUUCAUGGCAGAAUGAAAGAAUAUUUUGAAUUUCAUUUUCUGGGACACAUCGUUUAACAAUUUGAUCUGCACAAUACUUGAACAAAUAAGGGUCAUCCCAAAAGAAAUUCUUUAUUUCUGCAAAGAAUUUAGCCUUGUCUUGCUUGGUCCAAUGUUCUGGAAGUUGACCUGUAACAAGAUAAUUCACGAUGUCAGCAUACUAGGGUAAUACUUUCACACUCAUUAAUUGUUCGUCUGGAAAUGACUCAUUCAAUAUUAAUGGCUCGAUAAUUGUAUCAAAAUGGAGGCGAGAGAGAUGAUCAGCCACAACAUUCUAUGUGCCUUUCUUAUAUUUAAAUUUCAAGUCGAACUCCUGCAAAAGUAACACCCAAUAAAUUAGUCUAGCUUUUGCAUAUUUCUUUGUGAGAAGAUAUUUAAGAGCAGCAUGAUCCGUGAAUACAAUUAUUUUACAACCAAUGAGAUAAGAUCAAAAUUUUUCCAAUGCAAACACUAUUGCUAGCAUUUCUUUUUCAGUAGUUGAAUAGUUCAACUGUGCAUCAUUCAAUGUCAUACUAGCAUAGUAAAUAACAUGAGGAAUUCGAUCAACUCUUUGUCUUAAUACUGCUCCUACUGCAUAAUCAGAUGCGUCACACAUGAGUUCAAAUGGUAAACUCCAAUUUGGGGGCUGAAUAAUGGGUGAUGAUGUCAACAAUUGCUUUAAUUUUCCAAAUGCCACAAGACAUGAAUCAUCAAAGACAAAAGGUACAUCCUUAGCAAGUAGAUUGCAUAAGGGUUUAGAAACUUUGCUAAAAUCUUUAAUGAAACGUCUAUAAAAACCAGCAUGCCCAAGGAAAGAUCUUACUUCUCUGACUGUUUUAGGUAGAGGAAGAUUAGAAAUGAGAUCCACCUUAGCUUUGGCAACCUCAAUACCUUUGCUCGAAAUGAUGUGACCGAGAACAAUAUCUUGUUUUACCAUAAAAUGACAUUUCUCCCAAUUUAAGACUAAGUUCUUCUCGAUACAUCUCUGCAUAACUAGUGUUAGAUGAUGUAAACAUUGAUCAAACGAGUCACCAAAGACAGAAAAGUCAUCCAUAAAGACUUCAAGGAAUCAUUCAACCAUAUCAGAAAAAAUGUUCAACAUGCAUCGUUGAAAUGUUGCAGGUGCAUUACAUAAUCCAAAUGACAUUCUCCUAUAUGCAAAUGUGCCAAAAGGGCAAGUGAAAGUAGUUUUCUCUUUAUCUUUUGGUGCUAUGGGAAUCUGAUUAUAUCCUGAGUAGCCAUCUAGAAAGCAAUAAAAUUUAUGGCCUGCUAAUCUAUCAAGCAUUUGAUCAAUAAAUGGUAAAGGAAAAUGGUCUUUACUUGUGACAAAAUUUAAUUUUCUAUAAUCAAUGCAUACAUGCCAUCCUGUAGUUACUCUAGUUGGUAUCAAUUCAUUAUCAGCAUUGGUAAUUACUGUGACUCCUGACUUUUUAGGGACAACUUGUACAGGACUGACCCAUGAACUAUCAGAAAUUGGGUAAAUGAUACCUGCAUCUAAUAGCUUAAGGACUUCAGUUCUAACAACUUCUUUCAUAUUAGGAUUUAACCGACGUUGCAUUUCCCUAGUAGAUUUAGUAUUUUCAUCAAGAUGAAUGUAAUGCAUGCAGUCUACUGGAUUUAUACCUUUUAUAUCUGCUAUGGUCCAUCCUAAUGCUCCUUUGUGCUCUUUUAAAACAUCCAACAACUUACCUUUUUGUUCGUCAUUUAGGGAUGAUGAGAUGAUUACCAGUAGAGUACUUUCUUCUCCCAAAAAUGCAUAUUCCAAUGUGUUGGGCAAUGGUUUGAGCUCGAGUUUUGGUGGUGAUUCUGAUGAUGGGAUGAGUUUCUUCUCUGAUGGUGCUACUUGUUCAACUCUUGACUUCCAUUUAUUAGUGUCCAUGGAUGGUGCUGAGUCAAGUAGGGCGUUGACCUCAUCGACUGAUAUGUCAAUAUCAAAAUCUAAACCAAAGUGAGUUAAACAUGUUUGUAAAGGAUCAUCACUAAGGUUUGAAAGAAAAGUAUUAUCAAUUAUUGUUUCUAUUAAAUCCACAUCAACAAUUCCAUCAUCUGCACUGUGAGGUUGUUUGGCAAUGUUGAAAAUGUUUAGCUCCAUAGUCAUGUUGCCGAAGGACAACUGUAUAUUUCCAGUCCUGCAUUGAAUGUGAGCAUCUGCAGUUGUCAAGAAAGGUCGGCCUAGAAUAAUGGGGAUGUGCUUCCUUGAAUCCUGUAUUGGUUGAGUGUCAAUUACAAUGAAAUCAACAGGAAAAUAAAACUUGUCUACCUGGAUAAGCACGUCCUCCACAAUGCCACGAGGUAUUUUCGUGGACCGAUCUGCAAGCUGUAACACCACUGAAGUUAGGUGUAAUUCUCCAAGUCCAAGUUUCAAAAAUACUGAGUAAGGCAACAGAUUUACAUUAGCUCCUAAAUCCAACAAAGCAUUCUCAAUUGUGUGGUUCCCUAUGCUACAUGAGAUAGUGGGGGAGCCUGGGUCUUUGCAUUUUAGAGGAAUUUUAUGUUGGAGUAUAGAAUUAACGUUUUCUGUUAAAAAUACCUUCUUUUGAACAUGAAUAUUUCUCUUUUUAGUACAAAGGUCUUUAAGAAACUUGGCAUAAGAUGGAAUUUGUUUAAUAGCAUCAAGCAAAGGGAUGUUAACACUUACCUGUUUGAAGAUUUCAAGAAUCUCACCUGUGGAUUUUCCCUUCUUGCCUUUAGCUAACCUCUGAGGAAAUGGAGCUUUGGGAACGUAUUCUCGUGGGUUUUUUUCUUCUUUCUCCUCCGGUGAUGAGUCGUCAACAUUUACAGGUACAAUUUGAUUUUCUUUUGUUACUGGCAUCUCCACUUUAUUGUCGACUUCUUUUCCUUUUCGCAAUGUCAUGACUGCUUUGACUUCUUCAUGCUGUUGUGGUGAACUGGUACUUGCUUCAUGUACUCCUUUAGGAUUAGGCACUGCUUAACUUGGAAACUUACCUUUCUCAACGGUCAUUGCCAAGGUCUGAACUGAAGAAGCCAGUUGUCCCACCAUCUUCUCAAGGCUUGAAACUGAUUGGGCUUGUGAAUUGAAGCCUGCUCUCAACUCAUUUCGUAGUCCAUCAAUGGUGCGAUUCUGUUGCUCAAUCGUAGAGUGAGUAACAUUCUUGAAAUUCUGGAAUGCAUCCUCCCAUGGUCUGGGUUGAGAGUAGUUCUGAUUCUGAUUGUAUGGUCUAAAUGGGGGCUGAGAGGCUUAAGGAAUUUGAGAAAUUUGUUGCAUUGGUGGAGCUGGAGCUGUUGGUCCAUUAUGUUGGAAUCCUUGAGACCAUGAAAAAUUGGGGUGGUCUCUCCAUCCAGGGUUAUAUAUGUUGGAGUAUGGGUUGUAAUUUGAUGGCUUUCUCAUUACACCUAUGGCAUUGGCUUGAUCUGAGUAUGAAUCAUGGUCAUGUGGUUCUGUUGAUUUAGCAGUCGAUAACGAUGCUAUUUGUCGAGCAAGACCUUCAACCAUCUCCUUGACUUCUUUAAUUUUUGAACUGGAUUCGCCAAUGUGAACCUCAUUUACUCCCUUAAUUCUUCUAGUAUUCCUGAGUGACCGACUCCGUUGUUGGGAAUUAUCCAUUUGUCGCUGGAAGAAUUCCCAAAUCUCUGAUGCACUUUUUGAUAUUAGCUCUCCUCCACUUGUUGCCAUCAGCCAUUCUUGCACAUUCGGCAAUAAUCCCUCCAAAACGUUUUGGCAUUGAUGCCAUUUCUCAUACCAAUGAUGUGGACACUUCAAGAGUAGCCCAUUGAAUCGCUCCCAUGUUUCGAAAAAUUGCUCGUCCUCUCUCUGGGUAAACUCUAAGAUUUCCCUGCGAAUAGCAUUGGUUUUAUGCACUAGGAAAUAUUUAUUCGAAAAUUUAGUUACCAUUUGUUCCCAUGAUGAAAUGCUAUUGGCAGGCAAUGUACUAAGCCAUGAACGAGCUCUAUCCUUUAAAGAAAAUGGGAAUAAUCUAAGUUUAACAUCAUCAUCUGAAAAAUUCUCAUAUUUAAAUGUUUGACAAAUAGCAUGAAAAUCAUUCAAAUGAUUAUAUGGGUCCUCAUUUUCUAGGCCAUAAAAUGUGGGGAGACAAUUUAGCACACUAGGUUUUAGUUCAAAACUCCUAGCAGCUACAUUUGGGUAUCUUAUGCAUGAUGUGCUCAAAUUAGCUAAAGGACUGAAGUAGUCCUUAAAUGGCCUCUCCUGUGGUUGCAAAUCCAUUUUAUUUUUAACUUGUUUGUGUGUGCGAAGUGUUUUCUCAAGUUCAAGGUCUGUAGGUUCAAGAUUAGGUAAUAAUGACCUACAACCAUGCAUGCAAAGAACAAAAAUAAAUGGGAACAAAACAAAUAAAAAUAAAGAAGAAUGAGAAAUUACGUUACUAACCUUAUCACGCUGUUAAAACCUUUCUAUAAAAAUACACAAAAACAAAUACGUGAAAUAAAUUAACUAAAAAUAAAUUAAUAAGAUAAACAAAAAAAAUAUUACAAAGAAAAAUAAAUUGAAAAUUAAAUUACAGAAUUUUAAAGAAGAGAAAAAGAAAAGAAAUACUAACCUUUAAAUAUAGAUUCACUUUUUUUUUCUUUCUUUUUUUUAAUAAGAAAAAAAUACUAGAAAACAAAUAAAAGAAAUUAUUCACAAAAAUUAAUUCUAUAAAUUAAAAUAACUUACCUCCUCGGCAACUGUGCCAAAAACAUGUUGGGCAAAUUUUAUUGAACUCGCAAGCGCACGAAUCUAUUGUAGAAUAGACUAAUGGUGUCGAGUGUCGAUCCCACGAGGAGGUGGAUUUUAAUUGUGUAGAAUUAAUUUUGUAAAUGGGUGGUUGCAUUUGUGGUGAAAAUGAUUUGGAUUAUCCUAAAAUUGGAAUUGAAAUGGCGAGAAUAAAUUCUAAAAUUGGAAUUGAAAUGGCGAGAAUAAAUUGAAGAGAAAUCUAUUGAGAUGACGUACUUGGGUAUCUGGAUCCGUAUCAACAUGCACCAUGGGCUAAAUAUUCCUUAUUAAUACCAAUUAAAUCAUGAGGAGGGAAUCCACACCUCAUGAACCACACUCUAAUCAAUAUGGUGCUAAGGGCUUAUCGUGCCAAAUAAUAAUAACGUUAUAGUAGAGAGCCGGUGUAACCAAGGCGGUAUCUAGACAAGAUUAUUAUUAUUUGUCGAUGAGAAUUCAAAAAAUCCACAAAAACUAGAGGGGAAGAGAAAAUAAAUUUACCAAAUUAAGCCCAUGACACAUGUUGAGACUUCACCUUCAAUCCAAGCUUGAAAGAAAAUUAGCUACUCAUAAUUGAACUAGGGGCAAAAUAGAAAUUUAUUAAAAUACGUUGAAAAUACAAGAUGGAGAAGGAAUUACAGAAAAUGGAUCCUAAAAAUGGAUUCAGAGCUAUCAAAUUAGGGGGGAGAGUCCCCAUUUUUUUAGAUACAUGGAGUAAAUUAUGGCCAUCAGAUUAAAAAUAGUUUGGACGCUCAGGAUUGCGCCACAUCAUUAGUCAACAGUACGCGGUUUGACCACGUGGAUGAACAGUGACACGGUUUGACCCGGGUUGAAUAGUGAGGCGGUUUGGUUGAAAAUAAUCCUGUGUGAUGCAUGUACCGUAUGCUAGAUUUUUCGUCCACUGAUAUGCUGCCACGUCACUAUCAACAGUACAUAAGAAUUUUAGCCCAACAGGAUCGUGACACCUCAUCAGUCAAUGCCACAUCAUCGGUCAAUACCACAUCAUCGGUCAAUGCCACGUCAUCGAUCCGUCUAUGUGAACAGUGUCAUGAACAGUAAUGUAGACAGUACCAUACACAUGAAUAGUACCGUACAUGUGAAUAGUACAAUUUUUCCUUUAAUGCUCCUCCUAAGGUUUUUGACCGUCCUGAGUUCAAAAGUGAUGUCCGUUUUGCCGUCUGAUCUCUCGUUUAUUGUGAAAUGACCAUGAUGCCCCUAAAAUACAUAAAAUACUUAAUUAAAAUCAAACACACAUGAUUAAAUUGCAAAAAGCUUAAAUACAUAAAAGUAAGGGUUGUUAAUAAAACUUGAAAUGUAAAAUGAUGAUUUUUUCCUUUAUAAAUAUACAUUUUCUAACACUCAACACCUAACAUUAAAAAAUAUGCAUGAAAAAUAAAUUGGCUGUUGGGUACUUAGUUAUAGAAAAUGACUUAGUCACCUAAUAAAAAAGGCUUUAAAUUAGCACCCAAUAUACCAUCCAACUCCCACUCAGUGUCACUAGGAAAACACCUAUAUUAUAGCUCUAGUUGCUUUAAUUCAGAGAAAACAUCCUUAUAUUGUAAUGCAACAGACAUCAUAAUACAUUUGGAAUUCUAUCUGGUGACAUAGUCAAGAACUAUGUUUCUAUUACAUGCACAAUUCUGCCUAAAUCUCUACACCUAAAUGUUUCUUUCCUCUUAACACUUCCUAUAAAAAAAUUGGCACUCUCUGAAAUAUUCACAAGAACAUCACCAAUAACACUUAAGCCACCCUUAACUAUUAAAUUUAAAAUAUGGGCAGUACAACGUACAUGAGACAAUCUGUCACUCAUGAUCAAUUUUUUUUUCAAGCUUUUGUAUCAAAUACUUAAUCAUAUGAUGAUUAACACUACAAUGAUCAACAGUCAAAGUAGAAAUCUUCCGAUCAAUAUUCAUUUGGAUUAAACAAUGCACCAAAGCAUUACAUAAUGUCCUAGCUUUAUAUCAAGUUUGAACAUAUGUAAACCUACAAAAAGAAUAAGUAAUUACAACUUGGGUUAACAUAUAUUUAAUCAUUUAUAAUAAUUUUAGAAAACAAAAUCCACUAAGUAAAAGAACAAUAUUAACUAAUACCAAAAUUAUUACCUAAGAAUUUGACUUUGUAAGCUCCAAGAAUCAUUUUAUAAUGUGUUGAAACUGCCAUGUAUCCUUUUGUUUAGGUGCUUGGUUGUUUGUAUAUCUAUUGUAAUGGUAAUGUUACUUGAACUACUCUCCAUUAAACUCAACACCUUAGUCUUAUCCUAUUGAUACAUCCAUUACUUCUUUCUAAUAGUAUUACGAGAAACAUGCUUCCACAUUAGGCUAAGGGAAGAUAAAACUUUCUUAAACCCUUGAUGCUCUACACAACUUAAAGUGUACGCAUGCCAAACUAUCAUCUCUGCAAUAUCCUUCCUUGAGAUAUUUGGACCAAAAAUAAAAGUUUCCAUUUUGGCAUUUCUUUAUCCAUCCUUUGCUAUUUUAAGCUGACUCUGACUUGAACAUUAUUCUAUUAUCAUUUGUUUUUUAUUUGGACAAUAUUUUAAUGGUUAAGCAAAAGUGUAGUUCUAUUUACAGCUCGUCCUGUAAGCUAUGCCUUACAAUAUUUGCAUACUGCUCUUGGUAUCCUUAUAACUAUCUUUUUUUUCCUUUCCAUAUAGGACCACACUUCAAAGGCUUUCCUCUCUUUGUCUUCGGCGGAUUUUGAGCAAUGUCAUCUGCUUUGUUCAAGUCUUCAUCUAAAUUUACAAGCUCUAGUGUCUGAGUCAAAAUAUUAAAACUAAAAUAUCAUGCUUAAAAAAAAAGAACAAAUCACAACAAUAUGUCAGUCUGAGAAUAAUGAAUUGAUAUGGAGAAAUACCAUUGGAAAAAUAAAAAACCACAAACAAAUGACAAGAAGGAAAAUUUCAAUAUUUAUAUAGAGAAAUGCCUGAUGAAAUAUUGAUUAUUGAUGCCUGAUAAUUGAUGAUUGAUAUUAAGAAUUUCAAUUGAUUUUUUUCCUCCAAACUAUAAGAAUGCGGACAUCCAAGAUAGAGCUUAUUUUUUUAUUUUGGAAAGAAAUUUGAUUAUUUAGUCAUUGCUACAGAUUUAGAGUUUUUAGACCAUCCUUGGCUAUUUUUCUAGUAAACAUUGCAAUGACUGUAAUUGGCAUCUUUAAUUAAAUCUUGUAAAGAUAAUUAUUCUUUAAAUUAUCGACUUUUAUGAUUCCUUAGGGUUUCAAAAUACUCCAUAACUAAAGGCUUAAAGACGCUAACUUUAGUUAUUCAUGUUUUAGUCUUUUAGGGUUUUAAUAUUUAGGUUUAGCUGUUAAUUAAUAAUUUAAGUUUUUAAAAAUUAAUUAAAAAAAAUCUAACAAUUUUAUGAGUGGGUACAGGUUUUAGUGUUUAACACACAUACCUUACCUAUCCAAUCAAUGGUACCCGCACCCAAUUUUCUUAUGAGAGAAAAGAAAAAUUAGACGUGAUACUUCGCCCUAACAUAAUGGGCCCCCGCAUGCCUCUAUACCCACGGGAUCUUUUGAUAUUCUUUGUGAACAUUGAACUUACUUCCCGAGACAAGAAACCUUUUUUUUCUUGUAACUUUUUAGAACAAAGUUUACUUGUGAAAAGUUGUGAAUUUGCAAAUAAUAAAUAGCUCAGUGGGUACAAACUUAGUUGGGACAUAUUGCCAACUGUAGCAAUACAAAUUACAUCUAAUUUUAUUUGAAUUACUUUGCACUUGAACUCCAUUAAAUGGCAAUGCAACUUUGAAUUUGUCAUAAAACAUAUUUCGUUCACAAUUUUAUUUUUUGUAUGUAAAUGGAGAAAAGUAUUUUGUUCACAAAUGAAAUAUAUUUCCUUUGACUAAUUUAUGAUUUCAUAAAUGAAAUAUUAAAGUUGUAAAAGUUUAGAUUUAUCAUAAUAAUAUCAUAUAUUCAUUUAAUAAAUUAUAAACAUAAAACAAUUAGAUUUGUUUUUGAAAAAUAAGACUUAACUUAAUUUUAAAAACCUACCCUAAUAAAAUAUAUUAAAAUAUUCAAUUUCAAGUUAUUUGCAAAAUCAUAACAUUUUAUGUUUACUUUUGCAUUGAAAAUUUUUAUUUUGACAUACUUUGGCCCGUAUGCUAUUGAUGGCCCAAAGGCUGCAUGGUGGCCAACCAGUGAAGAGUGCCUAUUACAGACUUUUUCACGUGUCAUGAUUUAGCCCACCUCUAACCGUGCCAUGCUUUUAAGGCAUGUAAUUAGUCUAGCCUAGUCUACUUAUGUGUGGGGCAAUACUAUGUGCCCCACCAAAAAGUGCUUGAUUAACACUGAAAGCAUACNNNNNNNNNNNNNNNNNNNNNNNNNNNNNNNNNNNNNNNNNNNNNNNNNNNNNNNNNNNNNNNNNNNNNNNNNNNNNNNNNNNNNNNNNNNNNNNNNNNNUCAAAAGUUUAUUUAAAUAAAAUGAGUGUUUUUGGGUUAAACACGAUGGGCUAAAUUUUCUAAGCUGAGGGUUAAAAGUAAAGUUCAAGGAUUCAAAUCAUAGAAUUAAUUACUCCUCUCCAUGUGAGUUUUAAGCUUUUUUUUUAUUUGUUAUAUGUUAUGAUUUGUAUUUUUCUUUAUUGGUUACUUUUAUGUUAAGUUAAUUUGUAGAUCUAGAUUUUCUUGGAUUUAUAUGGAAAUUGGAUAUAAUGUUGACACUUAAAUAUAGUUGUGGCAUAUUAGGUACUUGAUCCCAUUUUUAUCCAUACAAAUGGUCAAUUAAGAAUUAAAUGACAUACUAAUUAACUGGCUAAAGAAAUACAAAAUAUAAAUAUGAGAGAGUAUUAUGAUCAUAAUUUGAAAACCGAUAGUGAAUCUCGUUAUCUUAGCAUUUUUUCUAGAUUGGUCUCUAUUAAUUUCUUUUUCUGUAAUUAAUUUUUAUUUAAUAAUUGGCUACUAAAUUUAUAAAUUCCCUAUAGUUCGACUCUAUACUCACCAGAUUAUAUUAUAACGAGAUACUCUUAUACUUGGGAGUAAUAAAUACUUUUAAGUCGUGUCAGUAUUUGUGCGUAUUGUGCUUGUGCCAUGCCAUUUGCUCCCUAGUCCAUUGGCCAUCUCUAGCCUUUGCAUUAUACAAGAAGUUCAUUUUAAGAAUUAUGUAAUAUUUCAUUAUCAUUAUAACUACAAACCAAGCAUCCAACACCCAAGCACCUAAAUUCAGGUUGGCUACUACUAUACCAUUCAACACUAUAUGAUGAUUUGAAGCAAGACUCAUCCUACAAAUGUGAAGUAUUGCCUACUGCUCAUUUCAGCAACCUAACUUCCUCUUUGAGGUCCCUAAUAUUGCUUUUCAGCACUUUUGCCAAUGUAGCAAUGUCUCCAAUAACUUUGUUCAGCUUUUAAGUGAACUCAUUGACAAACUCCCUGUAAGUUUGCUUCUCACUUGCCAUAUCAAUCAAGUUGAUUUAUGUUUUCCUUGCCAAACUCUCAAAGUCAAGCUGUAUGGUACCUAAAUUUCACCAAUCUAUCCUUUAUUAAUUCUCCUACCACUUUAGUUUUCACCGCUAGUCACACAACUUAUAUGCUAUUGCCAAUUUUUCCCAAAGUUACAAUAAUCUUACUCUUGCAGUAUAACUUCCUUAAAACCACAUUAUACCAGUUAUAACCAAAAUUGAUGUAGCUGAGCUUUGAUACUAGUUGUUAUAAGAUUUUCUUUGAAGAUAUGGCAACCCUCAUGAUUGUGCUAAGUUUUACAUGGCCAACCACGUCAGAAUGCCUAAAAUGCCCUCUAAGGCCCAUAAUGUUAAAAGAGACUAGCCAAAAUAAUAAAUGAGAAUAAAACAACAAAAUCAAAUAAUAUUUCAUAGAGGCUCAAACUCUGAACCUGCCUAUUAUUUAACAACUAAAAAGAAAUAACCUAAUUAAGGGUAUGUAUGAUGUUUGAACUAUCUCAUUACAAAGAGUGAAAGAACUUUAGUUUUCCAAAAUAAAUGAUUUCUAAGCUCUUUAGCCGAAAAGCUAUUUACAAAAUGCACAACCCAUACCCUAUAUACAAGUCAUAACCCUACUUGUCUAGGCUAGGUGGCAUUCUCCAUGAUGCCACCUUAAAUUCUAAUCCUUCAAGUUUAAGACCCACUCACCUACUUCCAUUUUAGGUGGGUGAUUGAUAAUUCUAUGCAAUGAGAGUUAUCAUGACACUUUUAGAUUUAAAUCAAAACUACUUAGAGAGUAAAUGAUAUGUUUUCAUUGUAUUUUUUGUUUUAUUUUGCAUAAUCAUUCAUCUUAGUUUACUCUUCAUAAAUUUUGUUUGAUUUAGAAUAAAGGGAAAUUAUCAUUCAUAGACCCUAUAUUUACUCUGUUAUCAAAAAUACUACAACACUUUGAGGGUGUAUCAAUCGUCCACCCUUAGUUGACAAAAUGUAUCAGCCGACCACCAAACCGUUAGUUGCCGUUUGAAAGUUAACGGAGUUACAAUGAAUUGACGAUUUUACCCUUGAAAAUUAUCACUUGUAUACCCUUAAAUUCUCUUUUUAUCACUUGUAUACCCUUAAAUUAUCACUUGUAUCAUAUGAAAAGACCAAAUUACCCCUUAUGACGUCAUCAUACUUAAACAACAACUAACGGAUUGGUGGUCAGCUGAUACAUUUUGUCAACUUAGGGUGGACGAUUGAUACACUUUCAAAGUGUUGUAGUAUUUUUGAUAAUGGAGUAAACUAAGGGUAUACAAAUGAUAAUUUCCCUAGAAUAAAUUGUGUGCUUAAAUCAUAUGCAUAAUUGUAGAUGACCGGAAGCUCAAAUUGCAAGGAAGGAAUGCUAAUGAAAUAGGCUUGCAAAAGAUGGAAAAGAACUUGGCUAUAGAAGAAUUGAAACAAAUCUGGAACAGUGCAAUUGCUGUAGUAAUCGUUGCUGGAGCAACCAUUGCCAUUACUGUAGCAAUUCUAGAACACCGAUAGAGAAAAUUUUGUAGAAUAUUAUGAUCUGUAAAUUCCUAAUCUAGAAUCUGUUUACUCUAAUUUUCAACUAUAAAAAGAGCACACAUCAUAAGAAAAAGGGGGAGCCGUCACCCAAGAAGAAAAACCACAAAGAAACAAAAGAAAAAUAGGAUUUAAGAGAGAGAUUUAAGGCUGAACAAGAGGAGAAUUUACAGAAAUCGAUUGGAAACUCAGUCCUUCUUAUUCUUCUAUUGUUUUCUUGUUUACUUUUUAGUCUUGAGGAUGUGUUUAAUGACUGAAACUUUGUUCUUUAUUUUUCUUUUGCAAACCCUGAACUAAAUUUAUUUAUGGUUGAGUGAUAAACAAUCUUGAUGGUUUAUUGAUUGAAUAUAUAUGUUGCUGCAUGUUUGCUAUAGCAUUUUGUUUUGAUAGUAUUAUUUCUAUUCAUUAUUUCGUCUGAUCACCCAUUUAAUGAUAUGUCUAAGAAAGAGCCACAAAAUGGUCUCUCUUAAUGGAACAUAUCAUAGUAAUGCUUGGUUAUAGAUUGGGUUUCCUGGAUUGAGUUUAACUUGAGUCCAAAAGAGUCAUGCUUAAUCUAAAAUUAGCGAUGAACUAGAUAUAGGAAUUCACCUUGUAGGGUAAUUAGAACCUAAGUGUAUAAUGCAAUAUCUUAUGUUAGUAUAACAACUAAUCAUUAUUAGGUUGCAUAUAGAUAGAAGAUAUCCAACAUGCAAUAGCUGAGGGUACAUAAGGAUUCUGCCCAAUGCUGUAGCAGAUGUUGUGGCAACCGAGCCAAACAUUAGAAAAAUGGUCAAAACCAUUAAGAGAGUUUAUUCACUUAACUACUCAAUUCCCAUUAGUUUUAUCCUUGUGUGUGACGUGAUAAUUUAUUUAUUUACAUUUCUAUUUAUUGCAUUUUAUUUCAAUUAAUUUAUUAGUUUUAUUAACUGUUUUAUUUUUUAAUUUAGAACAAAAUCUGCACUGUUAUGAUUGCUGUAGCAAAUCUGAUAACAUCAAUCCCUGUGGAGAUGAUCAUAAAUACUAAUCAUUAUAGUACCUGUUGUGUACACUUGCACAUUGACACUAAUAACAUUUGAAUUUACACCAACAAUGAUUAAGGCAUAAAAUAUAAAACCAUUUAGCAAGCCACUUCCCAAAUACCCAUGUAGUUAGGAACCACUAGCCACUAUGCCUAAAACUGAGGAUGCGCAUGACCAAGUCACCAACAUAUCGCGAGCCACUUAAAUUUUCCAGCUAAAAAGGCCAAAUUAAGCCAAAGUGUACUAGCUUGGCUUGAUUCUUGAAAUAUCCAGCACUCUUUAGCAUACUUUCACACUUGUACAUAACUAGGAAUUCUCUAGUAUUUGCUAGAGUAUUGUAAUAUGUACUAUGUACAUGCUAUAAGAGGUCUCAUCAAGCCUUGAGAGUGCUCAGAGACAUAGAAUUCUCUAGAAUUGGGCAAGCCUACCAUAUGAAUAAAGCUUGACACAUGCCAUUUGAAACACAAAACACAAAAGCAACUAAAGCAUGCAUGUAAGCUCUCAAGCUCUCUUGUACAUAUUUUAUUUAAUAUAUACUUUCUCUUUGGCUAUGUUACUCUCUCUUUUCUCUAUCUUUUCUAUAAGCAUUUUAGCUUAGCUAACCGAGAAUUUCAAGGCUUACUUAGCAACUUUCGGGCAAAAGUUAUCUAAUUACUCCAUCGGUUUACUGCACGAAAUAUUCAUCCCAUGACAAGUGGUAUCAGAGUUAUAGUUUGCAUCCUAAUAAUUUAGAUCACGUUAUAGUAAUGGCUAAUCUUCUAAAUCCUAGUACAUCAUAAGAUAUUGUUGCCGAGGUGGAGCCACCACAAAAGCCAACGCAUGGACAUAACAAGAGUCGCAUGCAAGCAAAGACUCUGGUAAAUCUAAGGUCGUUUCCAUUGACACCUUGGAACCUCUCAUUACUAUGCUUGAAACACCAAUGUCUGGUUGUUGUAAUUAAUUCAAAUGCUAUUGGUGUCAAUGUGCAAGUGUACACAACAAGUAAUAUAAUGAUAAGUAUUUAAGAUCGUGUCCACAGGGAUUGAUAAUAUCAGAUUUGCUACAACAAUCUUAAUAGUGAAGAUUUUAUUCUAAAUUAAAAAUAAAAUAGGUAAUAAAACUAAUAAAUUAAUUGAAAUAAAAUGCAAUAAAUAAAAAUGAAAAUAAAUAAAUUAUCACGUCACACACAAGGAUGAAACCAAUGGGAAUAGAGUAGUUGAGUGAUUAAAGUCACUUAACGGUUUUGACUAUUUUUUUAAUAUUUGGAUCGGUUGCUACAACAUCUGCUGUAGCACUAGGCAGAAUCCUUAUGUAUCCUCAGCUGUCAUAUAUUGUAUAUUUUAUAUCUAUAUGCAACCUAAUAGUGAUAAGUUGUUAUGCUAACAUUAUAUAUAAUAUUUCACGCUUAGAUUCUAAUUACCCUACAAGGUGAAUCCCUAUAUCUAGUUCAUCACUAAUCUUAGAUCAAGCAUGACCCUUUUGGACUCAAGUAAAACUUAAUCUAAGAAACCCAAUCCAAAACCAAGUAUUGCUCUAAUAUGUUAUACUAAGAUAGACCCUUUUGUGGCUUUUUCUUAGCUAGUAUCAUUAAAUGGGUGAUCAGCUGAAAUAAUGAAUAGAAAUAAAUACUAUCAAAAUAAAAUGCUAUAGUAAAAAUGCAGCAACACAUAUAUUCAGUCAAUAAACCAUCAAUAUUCUUUAUCACUCAAUCAUAAAAAAAUUUAGUUAAUGGUUUGUAAAAGAAAAAUAAAGAACAAAGUUUCAGCCAUUAAACACAUCCUCAUGACUAAAAAGUAAACAACAAAACAAGAGAAGAAUAAGGACUAAGUUCCCAAUUGAUUUAUGCAAAUUCUUCUCUUGUGCAGCCCUCAAUUUCUUUCUUGAAUCUUGUUUUUCUUUUGUUUCUUUGUGGUUUUUCUCCUUGGGUGACAUGUCUGCCUCUUUUUUUGCGUAUGUGCUUCUUUUAUAGUUGAAAAUUAGGGUAAACGAAAGUCUAAAGCGUGCAUCAUUCAAAUUAGGAAACUGCAGAUUGCAAUAUUCUAGGUAUCUCGCGCGAAAUUUUCUCUAUCGUUGUUCCGGGAUUGCUACAGCAAUGGCUACAACAUCUACAUUAUUCCAUAAUUGUUUCAAUUCUUUUGUAGCCAUGUUCUUUCCUUAUUUUUGCAAGCCUAUUGCAUCAGCAUUCCUUCCUUCAAUUUUGAGCUUCCGAUCACCUACAAUUAUGUAUAUGAUUUAAGCACACAAAUUAUUCUAAAUCAAACAAAAUUUAUUAAGAAUAAAUUAAGAUGAAUGUUUAUGCAAAACAUAACAAAAAUGCAGUGAAAACACAUCAUUUAUUCUCUAAGUAUUAUUGAUUUAAGUCUAAAAGUGUCAUGAUAACUCUCAUUUCAUAGAGUUAUCACACCCCUAAACUUAAACCAUUACUUGUAACCGUGAACCGUUUAGCAAGAACGGUUAGCCAAAAUUUGUUUCGCAGGUUUCUGGAAAUAAAUAGCUAACCGAUAAUUCCAAAUGGUUAACCGACUAUUUAAAAUCUUAGCUCAACGGUCAUUUAGACUAGUCAAAAUGGUGAAUCGACAUCAGUUAAUAGUGAUCCAAUUUUUCUCAGAAAGUUAAUAACAGCUAGUUUUUAGUUCCAACUAAAAACGGCUCAACCAAAUUCAAACAAAAAGAGAUCUAAAAGUUAUCAUUGAGCUUGCUAUUAAGUAUACAAUUCUUAUUGAGAUUUAAACUUAUUUUUGUUUCAUUGAUUCACACUUUGAGCUUUUAUUUGUAACCAUAUACAUUUGAGUGAUUAUAAGUGUUGGGAUACACUUGGGUAAAGAGAUUGGGAAUAAUCUCUUGUCGUAAAGGUCUAUUGACAGCUUGAAAGUUAAUUGUAAAUGUUGUUGAACCCUUGAAGGCUUGUUUAGUGAAAUCCUCAAGCCUGAUGAACUUGGAGGCGUGGACGUAGGCACAGUUGGCCGAACCACGUAAAAAUCACGGUUUGCUCUCUCUUACCCUAUCUCUUUUUUUUAUUGCACAUUAAUUUUUUUAUUUCAAAUUUGAUUGCUUUGUUUAAAUUGCAUUAAGUUUUUAGUUGCUUAAAUUUUUAGAAACCCAAUUCACGCCCCUCUUGGAUUGCCUAGUUAUUAUUUCAAUUAGCAUAACUUUUCAACCAACUGGACAAAGUACGAUACUUUACUAUGCUCGGCUUACACUUUAGGCACUAUCAAGUUCGUAUUGUUAAGGAAGAUGAACUGAAGACAACAUAUACCAUAUAUAGAUCUUUUAAAUUCCUUAUUAUGCAGUUUUUCUUAUAAAUGCACCAACUACAUUUUACAUCCUUGUGAAUAAAGUUCUUCAACUAGUCCUCGACUAUUUUAUCAUCGUGUUCUUCGAUGACAUUAUGGUGUGUAAUACCACACUUAAAGAACAUGCAUAAUUUUUACAAUAAGUCCUCUACAUGACAAAACUCUUUAUUAUAAUAGAGAAGUGCUUGUUCGCACAACAAAAAAUAGAGUUUCUUGGUCAUAAGAUUAUGGAUGAAAAGCUAAUGAUGAAGAACUCAAGGUUCUCGAAUAGGAGCCUCUCACUAUGGUGCUCACGCUACAAUCAUUUCUUGGAGUAGUGAACUAAUACCAUUACUUUAUCAAAGGUUACUUAGCAAGGCGGCAUGCUUGACUGGCCUUUUUAAGAAGAAUAGAAUAUGGCAUUGAUAUGAAGAAUGCUAGCAUGCUUUUAAACAUUUGAAAAAGGGUGUUUCAGAAAAAAUUAUCCUUUCUUUUUUAGACCACUCUAAGCCUUUCGAAAUUCAGAGGGAUUUUUUAGACUUCUCUAUUAGCGAAGUCCUUAUACAAGAAGUCUAACCUAAAGCACGGAACGUCGCUACAAAGUGUAAGAAAAAAAGAUAAUAGCCAUCAUCCAUUGCCUAGGAGUGUAGCCACAAGAUACUUCCAAACCCAUAAAAAGUUAAGACCUAAACAAGCAAAGUGGUAAGACUUUUCAUGGAGUUCGACUAACAAUUCAAAUACAGACUGAAGAAAGCCAAUGUCGUAGCAGAUGUAUUAAGCUGCAAGAUAAAAUUAGCAACACUUAGUACGAGCUAAUCGAAGUCUAACCUUGUCUCACAUAUCAAAUAAGGCCUCUAACAAGGCCCUUUAGCCAAAGACUUAGAAGCAUAGCUUACUAUUUCUUCCUACCAAUAUCACUAUUUUUAUAAUAGGAAUGGACAGAAGAGUAACGCCUCUACAGUGAUCUAACAAGAUAUUUUACAAUUAGGUUGUCCCUUUAAACCUAGUUCUUGGGAUCUCUAGUCAGCUAAGUUGGGUUUUCCUUUGUAAAAUAAACCUUUCAUUCAAUGGGAUUUAGUCUUAUUCCCUUCGAUGAUUUUUCUGCUAACUCUCUAUUUAACCCUUUAAUUAGGAGAUCCACAAUAUUAUUUUUUCGUUUCACAUAGUCAAUACAAAUAACUCUAGUAGAGUAUAGUUGUUUAAUGGUGUUAUAUCUACAAAGUAUUUGUCUAGAUACACCAUUAUACAUAUUGCUCUAUUCCAUUAUGAUUGUUGAUUGACCAUCACAAGAUAUGCAAAGUAUUGCCACAUGGUUUGGCUAUUUUGGAAUACAUUAUAAGAAAUUCUAUAGUCAUUCUACCUCUUUACCACAUUUGUCCAACGUAAUAAAUUCAUAUUCUAUUAUUGACCUAGCUAUUACUAUUUGUUUAGAUGAUUUCCAUGAAAAGACAGGACCUACUAGUGUAAAUACAUAGCUGCUGACAGACUUUGAGACUUUUACAUCAGUAUCCAAUAUGCAUUAUUUUAUCUUUCUAGUAUAAUAGGAUAUCUAGUAUAGUGCAACCUAUAAUUACAAGAAUAACAUAAGCACCUACAUACUCUUACUAUUGCUUUCUAGUGAUCAAUUCCUAGAUUACUUAUAUAUUUAGUAAAUUUGCUUAAUGCAUAAGCUAUGUUUGGCCUUCCACAACUUGUUAGGUACAUCAGACUGCCUAUUGUUUUGGUGCUUGCUUCAAGCCAUAUAAUGACUUCACUAAUGUACAGACUUUCUUUUCUUGUCCUAGAGCUAUAAAGCCUUCAAGCUGUUCCAUAUAAAUUUAUUCAUCUAAAUUUUCAAUUAGAAAAAUUGUUUUUACAUCCAUUGGGUGUACUUCUAAAUUACGUAAUGUUGCAAUUGGUAGUAUCAUCCUAAUGGAAUUUAUUUUCGUUACAGAAGAACAAGUAUCAAGGCCUUGUCGUUACUUAUAACCUUUGGUUAUAAGUCUAACCUUAUACUCAUCAUUAAUCCAUCAGUUUUUAUUUCUCUUGAAUCCACUUGGAUUCUAGAGGUUUGCAUCCAGGAGGAAGAUCUUUUAAGGAUAAUUUUGUAAGAUGGAUUCAAUUUCACUAUUAAUAGCAUCUUUCUACAAAGUGCCUUCGGUUGAACUUACAACUUACAUAAAGCUUUGUAGUUCACCCUCUAGUAAAAAAGUUAAAAAAUCUGGGCCAAAUAAUUUUUUUGUUCUAACUCUUUUACUACGUUUAGUUUGAAAAUGAACCUCUUAUUAACUAUCUUGAACUUUUCUUGUUCUUGGUCCUCACUAUCUUUAAUAAUAUCCUCAUGUGUUCACUUAAAUUGAACUUGAAUCCUCCUUCAAUUUACUCAAAAAUACAUGCUAAAAAAAACGAUGCAUUUCUAGAUUCCAUUAUCAUAUUCUUGUGUAUGUUUGGUAUAUUCAACUCACACAUAAGAAAUCAAUAGGCACUAUUGUUAUAUGCAUAACUAAUUAAAAUGUAAUCUACAAAAUUUUGUCCUAUUUUUACCUUCUUUGGUGAUGAAUGACCACUUUAGCAAGACACCCCCACAUGCGCAAGUAUUUGUAGGAAGGUACUCUACCUUUCCAUAAUUCAUAAAGGGUUUUCUUUGUUUCCUUUCGAGGUACCUUAUUUAAAAGGCAAUUAAGUGAUAAAACAACUUUCCCCCACAUAUUCUGAGGUAGCCUAUAACUUAUUAACAUUGCAUUAAUCAUUACUUUCAAAGUACAAUCUUUUCAUUCAGCUAUCUCAUUGGAUUAAGGUGAGUAAAAAGAUGUAGUUUAAUGUAUGAUUCUAUAUCGUUCACAAAGUGCAACAUACUCAGUACCUGUAUCAGUUCGUAACUCUUUAAUUUUCUUAUUUAGUUGAUUUUCAACUUCAUUUUUAUAGAGCACAUAUUUCUCCAUGGCUUCGUCCUUACUUUUAGUAAAUACACAUAACAAAAAUUUGUGUAAUUUUUAUGAAAGGUAGUAAAAUAUUUAUUACCACCCCUUGACUGUAUGGAUUUAAAAUCACAUAUAUCACUAUGUAUUGAGUCAAGUGGGUUAGUGAUCCUUUCAAUUCUUUGAAAGGAUGACCUUGUUAGUUUUGUCUCAACACAAUAUUCAAACUUAUGUUUCGUAUCAAUUUGGAAAUAAGGUAUACGAUUCAAGUUAAUUAACUUAUGCAAGGCAUUAUAAUUUGUUAGAAAAGCUGAUACAAAAGAUUUUACAUUAUCCAUGCAUGUCUAUUUUUCAAUAUUUAUCUUGCUCAAAAUUGGCCUCAAAAUAACGACUUUAUACUUUUUUUUCACCAAUUUAUUGUUAUCUCAACUUUAUCUCAUAAAAGGUUUUAAUUGCACUAAGUUUUUAACUAAAAAUUUUGACGCUCUCUGAAAGAUAACUAAAUUCAUUCUUUUGUUUAAAUGAAAAUUCAUUUAAACAGUUAAAUAAGAUAUUCUUUUAACAAAUUUUUGCAGCCACCCAUGAAAAUUAUUUUCUUAAAGAAAAUUAUAACAAAAUUUUGAGUUAUGGAGAAUAUAAUAUGAAGAAAAUAAUUAAACAUUUUAGGAUCUGUAUGUAUAAUGAAAUUUUUUUUAAAGAUGAUUAACUUUUUAAUAAGAAUUUGCAUUUUAUAAACUAAACUGGGGGUAUUUUAACAAAUAAAAUUUGAAAGGGGUGUUAUAAGAAUUUUAUAGGGGUGUUAAAUACUCCACUUUAUAGCAUAAAGCCUUUCAAAACCCAAUGAAAGUUAAUUAAUAGAGUAGUGAUAUUUGGCACUCUUAAAUUAUCUUACCAGUGGCCACUUUUAAAUUUAUAUCAUUUAAUUCCUAAAUUAUCCAUAUUAAAAUUAAUUAUUAUUUCUAUUUAUUUUCUUUUUGGGCCAAUAAUAAAUAAGGAUAAACAUUAAACACCGCAUUGCAAUGAGUUAUAUUUUUCUAGAUCUCGUCUUACUACAUAAUAAUAAUUAUUUAUAUAUUUGUAAGAAUAUAUGUUAUAUUAAAUUAAAGAAGCUUGCAUCUACAUACACUACUACAAAAAUGACUUUUAUUGACACUUAGUUGACCAACACUUUGCAAAAAGUGUCAGUAAUUAUGUACAUAUGCACCAUUUUCCGCUUUUGACAAAUAGGUAUCAAAGGUUGUUGAUACUAGUAUGUCAGUAAAUUAAACAUCAAAGAUCACUAACACUAAGGUAUCAGACAUAAAAAAAAAAUCAUUAAAAUUUGUUUUAACUCCAACUUGAACUUGAGUGCUCUAAGGUUUAAAACUUUAAUGUUCGGAGCACACUCCAUCAAAUCUCAUUGAAUCAAAGUCAAACUAAUAUGUAUAUUAUUUAAAAAUAUAAAUAUAAAUAUAAAUAACAGCAACACAAAACUUACACUUAAGCAGUUUUCCCCAUCUACCCAAACUGUAUCGACUAUCUCUAUCUUACUUUUAUCUUUCUCUUUCUCUUUCGUUUUACACUUCUCAAUCUCUUCUGUUUUGCAUUAUCCAUUUACAAAUUAAAUUCAAUUAAUUUAGAUAGAUAAUGAAAAGCUAAAACUCCAUUUCCUUUUUCCAUAUUCCCCAAAUUGAAAAACAAACCAAAACCCUAAUCGCUUGUUAUCGAAAGGGUUUUUUUCUCCAACUAAACCAUCUAGUGUCUAUAUUGGGCAAGUGAGUUAAAACCAUCGACAAGAGGUGAAGUGGCACCAUCAGUUGCGUAUUCAAGUUAUCCCAUUCUCCCUCACAAGUUAAGUCCAGAGAAAGAACUGUAGAGGACGUUGUCAAUUGGUAAUGGCUGAAUAUUUUAUUUUUUUUGGCAAUUUAAUUAAUGGGUUUGUUUUAAUUUAGCUUAUUAUUAAUUUUUUUAUUUUAUUUUUUGGGUUGUUUCAGAUGUUGAGAAAUUGAACCAGUAGUGUCUGGUGGGUUUUGUUUUCCAAAUCUUUUUUUUCUUUUAUUUAAUUGUAAUUUGAAUUUAAUUUUUUUAUUUUUCUAUAUUUUUACUCACAUGCAGUCCAAAAAUACAGGCAUUUUAGGUUGUGCAUUACUUAAACUCGAAAAAAUCACUGCUGCAACUCUGUUUUUUCUACCACAUUUGAGGUUAGUUUAAAACUUGUGUCGUGUGAUUUACCGUCAUUGUUAUUUAAAAUUAGGAAAAUGCAUUUUUUUUUUAGUUUCUGAAAUAAAUUGUCAGAUCCGUGUACUAAAUUUGAUUAAUAAGUUAGUUGAUUUUGAAUUUACUGAAAUAUGAAUUUUCACUUUAGUUUUUGCCUUUAUGAUUAGGAGAUAAUUGUUUGGGUAUUAUAUUGGUUGAAUGACUGUGUAUUUCGUAAUUACGAACUAUUUACAUCUCCGUUUCAUGUAAAGAGAGGCAAAUUUUGUUAUAGAAUCCUACUUGUUUAUUUAUUUUGUUUUGGUUGGAAGAUUUGUAAUAGAGACAAUGACUAUGAUAUGAAUUAAUUAAGUUCGUGGUUGUGAGUGUUUUGAGAUUGUAUAAAGUUCAUGAUUUGUCUUUGAUUCAAGAAGGAAAUGCUUGUUUUAAGGUAGUUCUGCUUGUUGUAUUUGAAGUUAAAAAGUGAAUUAUACAAUCUUAAAAAAUGGCUUGCAAAGUGGUAUGACGACAUUUUUUAUUUCAACUCUUAACUUUUGUUAGUGUCUUCACUUAUGAAUUAGUUCGACUACUUAAAAAGCCAUUAGGGCCCAUCUUACUUGUUCAUCUCCUAUUUAAGUUUCAAAGCUUCUUUUGUUUCAAUCUCAGGAUUUUGUCCAAAUUAUUAUUAUAAUUCAAUGGUUUAUAAGGACUGUUAGUUAUUUUCUAGAAUUAUGAGUUUAUUAUUGCAACUAUAAUUAUAAUAACAUUGAACAUUGAAAUUAAUCAUGCAAUUUAAUUAUACUUAAACUGACAUUACAUAUAUGAACAGGUAAAAUAUUUGAAAUAGACAGAACUUGGAUAACUUGUGAUAGAUUGUCUAUAGAGUAUCAUACCAGAGUCGUUGAUUUCUUAGAUUUUGACAUUUUAAAUGCUGAAAACCGAAUGUCAAUUAGAUGUCCUUUCACCUUUUGUUUUAAUAUGGCGUUUCAUACUCCUCGACAGAUGAAGGAUCAUUUAUUUGAAAAAGGUUUCUCCAAAAAUAUAUAGUUUGGACUUGGCAUGGUGAGACUGACCCUAAAUCUACAUCUACAAAGUGUGAAGACCAUCCACAUAGUCAAAGAUUUAGAUGUCAUGAUUACAGUAACAUAAUUGACAUGGUCGAAGAUGCUUACGAGCAUUGUGAUAGAGAUCCUAGUUUUUUUAAGGAUAUGCUUAAAGAUACUAAAAAGCCUUUAUACCCUGGUGCAAAACAUUCAAAACUAUAUAGUUCAAUGAGACUUUACAAUGUGAAAGGAACUAUGAGUGGUCCAAUAAAGGUUUCCUGCUUUGUUAGAAGUCUUUGCUGAUAUUUUUCCAAAUAAUAAUAAUUUACCUAAGUCAAUGUGUGAGGUUAAAAAAACAAUGAAAGUGCUAGGCUUAGAGUAUAAAAAAAUACAUGCAUGUCCAAAUGACAACAUUUUGUACAGGAAUGAAUUUGUUGAUCUUACUGAAUACCCAAAUUGUAAAGCAUCUAGGUAUCAAAGAAAAAGAUAGCUCAACAAAAUUUAGGAAAGUGUUUUCUAAAAAGAUAUUAUGGUAUUUUCCACCUAUUUCUAGGUUGAAAAGAUUGUCUCAAUCACCACAAACAGCUCAAAAUUUAACAUGGCAUGGUAAUAAAAGAAUUAGAGAUGACAAGUUUCGCCACCCAGCAGACUCACCAACCUGGCAACUAAUUGAUAAUAAAUGGCCAAAUUUUGCAUAAGAACCUAGAAAUCUCCACUUAGCUCUCUCAAUUGAUGGGGUUAACCCACAAAGUACACUUAGCACUACUUAUAAUUGUUGGCCUGUUAUAUUGAUGACAUAUAAGCUUUCUCUAUGGUUGUGAAUGAAGAGAAAAUUUCUGAUGCUGUCUCUUUUGUUAUCUGGCCCUAAACAACCUAGAAAUGAUCUAAAUGUAUACCUAGCACUUUUGAUUGAGGACUUGAAAACUCUAUGGGAUGUAGGUGUUGAUGUUUAUAAUGCUUAUAGAAAAUAAACCUUUAAUUUACGGGCUGUCUUGAUAUGGACAAUCAGUGACUUUCCAACGUACAGAAACCUCUCUAGUUCUACUGUUAAAGGCUAUUAUACUUGCCCAAUUUGUGGGAUAGACACUUGCGCAUGUUAGCUAUCGCCUAGUCGGAAAAUGUCAUAUAUGGGCUAUCGUCACUUUCUACCACUUGCUUACCCAUUUCGAAAACUGGAAAAAGGUUUUAAAUGGGAAGCAACAAUAGAAUUAUAUAUAUCGUAUAAUACGAUCAUAAUCAGAAUCAAAAUAACUACGGACAAUGAGCCAAAACAUUCAAAUUAACUUUUCAUAUGUAAUGACUUAUAUGUGUCACUUUGCACUAUAUGCGGCACUUUGCGGCGUUUUGGCCCUUAAAAGGUGGCACCCAUAUAGUCUCAAGAGGUGCCCCCGUACAAUCAUAAAUAAUAGAGAUCAUACAUAGGCACAAAACAUUCGUAUCAGAUUCAUGAAAGUCCAUAGCAACAAUUUAGGCUUGUAAAAUAUUUCAUAGACAAAAUUAUAAAAGGUAGUCAUGUCAUAAAAUAAUUUACAUAUUGAAAAACAUUUAUAAAAUAUUUUGUUAAAAGAAUUUAAUUUGAAAACAUUUUCAUAAACUAAUUUUGUUAUGAAAAUCCAUUAAUCUUUUAAGUAGUAUAAAAACUCUUAUAAUAAUAUCAAAAUACUUAUACAUAUCCAGUAUAUUAGGAAUGAAGUUACUUACCUCGAUAAAAGGAUUUGAAUUAACACACCUCUAAGCCUCUAAAAGUCUCAAUCACCUCCAACACUUUAACAAAUAUAAGAUAUAACUAUCAAUAACUUAUCCUAAGAAUCAGAUUUUCUAAUUCAUACCCGUACUAGUCUCAUUCUUAGAAUUUGAACUCUUAAUCUAAAAAUCAAAAUGACAAAAUAUUCUAUGGAACCAUUCAGGACAUCCAUGGGUACCUCAUGUAAACUUUUCAAGAGGAUUCAAUACCAAAAAUAUUUUCAAGACUAUUUAUUACUUGACAAAUUCGAAACUGUUUCAUACUACUUUAACCGAACAGAACGUGUUCUAAGAUUUUUAUAAAAUCAGAUACUAAUCAGAAAAUUAUGAAAUUAAAACUGGAAAUAAUAGACACAUGUAUCAACUCAUAAAAUUUCAGAAUGUUUCGAGUUCGUUUAAAAGUACAAAUAAGUUUGUGAAUCUGAUCGCCUUGUUGGAAUCGCCGUUUUCCAGUGUAUUAGUGUCAAUUUCAGAAAUCCAUAUAUAUAAAUGAAAAAAAAAAUCAAAUCUUAUGAAAUAAAAUUUAAUCAAUAAGCCUUACAUGUAUAGUUUUCAGAAAUAUAAAGUUCUUAUGAAAAAUUAUUCAGAAAAUAUAUGUUUGAAUUCGAGAUACUCAUAUUGUCCAAAAUUUGUCCAGUGUGUUUAAUGCACCAAGGGUUGAUUAAUAAAACCCACAAUAAAUCAGAACCCUAAACAGGACCUAAACGCACCUUAAAUCAUGUACUAUGAUCUGUAACAAUCCAAAAUCAUGCUGAUAUAAACUCUAGAUAGAGUGAUUGGAAAUCUUGUGGAAAAUAAAGAGAGUAAACUUACCAAUCGCUUUGAUUCUCUCUUAAACAAAUAUUUAAAUCCUAGGGUUUGGGUAGGAGCGUAAUGAGCAGCAAAGAAAAGAAGAAAUGUUGUGAACUUAGGGUUGUGGAAGGGGGAAAGUUAUAAAUUUAUAAGGAGUCUUAUGAAACCCUAUUGGAUUUGGAAAAAUAACCCUUUUUCUAAAAAUUACCCCAUGAUUAACCCUAUUUGUAAUUUUAAUAUUCUUUCUUUCUUCCUUUUUUCUAACAAGAGUUAUAAAGCCAUGCAUAGGGAUGGCUAUUUAACCCGGACCCGGAUCGGACCCGGAUGAACCCAAAAAAUUCGGUCAGGGUUCAACCCGUACCGGAACAAAUUAAAUGUGGAAUCCGAAUUGAAUUUUACCAACUCGGACGUAUCCGGGUCUGGUUCCAGGUUUGGGUGAACCCGUAAAUCCGGAACCCAGGCCCGGACAUCUUUAUUUAAUAUAAAUUGAAAAAUUAAAAAAAAAAUUAGCCUUGCCCUAAUUCGCUGCCGCUGCCAAACAUUUCCACUCUCUCCCUUCUCUUCAUCAAAUCAUCAUCAAGCCAAACCAUUUUCUCUUCGUUCAGCCCUUCUCUUCAUCAAAUCAUCAUCGCCACUCACCAUUGCUUCGCUACUUUGUUGUGUUCAUGUUCAUCAUCAUCAAAGGUGAAAAAGAUCAAUGAAGAAAGAAUAAAAAAUUAAUUAAAGAAUACAAAAUAAAAAACCAAACAGCAAAAGAAGAAGAAAAGGAGAUUAGAAGUGCAGCCGCAGCAAAGGAAGAAGAAAGCAAGGGUGGAGAUGGGAAAAAUGGUUUGAACAACAUACAUGAUUUUGAAGACCAAAGCUCAUUUCUCCCCUUUUCGACUUUUCUUUACUUAACCCCACAAAGCCCACUUUAUCAUCAUCAUCGCCAAAUUUGUCAUCAUUAUGUUUGAAAAUUGAAUUUUGUAUAUGCUCUAUUGCCUUUGAAUUUAUUUUUAGUUAUUUGAUUUUGCAUUAUUUUCCAUUGCUGUUGGUAAUAGGUUAAAGAUGUAAGGAGGAAUUCAUAGCAGAGGAGAGAGAAAAUCGUUUCUCUUUAACAAGCAUCCGGGUUCUAAACCCGGAAUCCUGGAACCUGGACCGAACCCGGAGUAUAAAUAUCCGGGUCCGGUAUUUUCAAAUUACCAUCCGGGUCUGGAACCGGAAAGGCUAAACCCGGACCCGGACCCGGAUUUUGCCAUCCCUAGCCAUGCACGAUUUCUAUUAAAAGCCCAUUUUCCAUAAUUUAAUAUUAUGGAAUUUGGCGUUACAACUAUUGUAUCAUAAGAUUACUAUACUACUUUUGAAGUCUUAAUAUGGUCUCAUUGUAUGGAGCAUAUACAUUAUUUAGGAUCAAGAAACCUCUAUAAGGUAAAAAAAAAAAUUGUGGUUGCAAAAUAAACACAUUUGUACAUUUUCUGGUUGGUUACAAGAAAAGGUUAGAAUUAUUGCUUAACUAAAUACAAUAUAGGAUAUAAACUUCAAUUUUAACAAGAUUUUUUUUCAUGUAACUAAUUACUAUACUUUCUAAUUUAAAUUAAAGGUAGCACAUGAUAGAGCAAAUAAUGUGUCAGUUGACGAAAUAGUGUGGUCGUUGGCAAACAAACCACGCUCAAGCGUGGUGACCUACCCUGGCUACAAGACCAAUGGCUUCAAUUUUGCAACGAGAGAUCGGGACAAUAAUCGUGUAACCCAAAAUAGUGGUCUUGGAGUUGUCGCUAACACUCUACAAAUUUCAAGCUCAAAAGAUAAAAGUCCCCAUUCUUGAAACAUGACGUUUUAUGGAGUCAUUGAUGAGAUUUGGCAACUUGAUUAUCUGAUGGUUAAAAAAAAAAACUUUUCAAAUGUGAUUGGGUAGAUGAUAAUGGGUUUGCAUUGACAAUUUAGGUUUUACUGUAGUUGAUUUAAAUCUAAUUGCUUUAUUCUAGCUUGUCAUGCAAAGCAAGUGUUUUAUGUAAAUGACUAGCUAUAUAAUAAUAAAUCAAUAGUUUGUUCAGUGACUAAAAAAGCUUAUAAGUUAAAUGGGGAAAGAUGUGAAGACUUGGAUGUAUUUUUGCCAUUAUCUAACAAACUUCCAAUAUGUGAGUUGGAUGAGAAAGAUGACGAAGGAAUUUAUGACAUAAAAUAUUGUGAUGCUAUUCUAAUAGAUAUUGAUUUAGAAAAUCACUGAAUGCAUUAUUGUAGCUAGUUUUCAGCACCAAUUUUUACAGUUUUCCAAUAAGUGAUUUAUUUAUUUGAUUAUAUGCUAUUACUCUUGUAUUAACUUCUUAAUUUAAUUGAUGUGCUUAUUUGUUUUAAUCAUUUUUAGGAUUAUAGGAGAUGGUUGAAGAUGAUGAGUUCACUUUUCUAGAGCUCGAGGGAAGACCAAGGAGAAGAAAACAAACAAAAAAAAAAGGCUUGCAAAAAGAAUAAUUUAGUAAUGAAGCUAUAAUUGAGUACAAUUCUUAUGGUGUUCCAGUUGGAAAGGAAAGGAAUGAUCUUAGGAGUUACAUUAGAGUCAUUGUACGUGAAACAAUUUCGUUCUUACCUGAUCAUUGGAGGCGUGUGACAUUGGAGAUGAAGGAAACUAUGUGGCUUCAUUUUCAGGUUUUCUUUACUUGUUUAAUAGUAUGUUUAAUGAUUUUAUAUAACUUCUAGUUUUGUUUAAAGUUGCUGCUAAUCCAUGUCAUUAGUUUAAAGAAAAAGUUCAAAUUGAGCUUGAAUGCAAAAGCCAAGUGUUAAAAUGGAUGGGGGUUGCAUCAAGAAACUUUAGAAGUCAGCUGCCAACUGAAUUCGUUCUACCUUACAAGGAUGAUUGAAAAUCACUGAGGUUGCCUCCUAUUGAAUAUCCGAGCAUUAAAAAAGAAGAUUAUAAACUUUUUGUUGACAAAGUUUUUUCUGAAGAAUUUAAGGUGUGUUAUUUGUUAAUAUUACUUGAUUUAUUUGUUGCUAGUUAAUAAUAAUAAAUGGUAACCUUUUUGUUCUUUGUCGUACUAUUUGUGUAGGAAAAAGGAAAAAAAGCAAAAGAUAAAAGAGCAAAGAAUAUCUACAAUCAUCGCUUUAGUAGCAUAAGAUAUGGUGGCAUGUUUUAUAGAAAAAUAUGUAUGGUAAGUAAUCUAAUAUAGUUAUGCAAUAUAACCCAACUAAUGCAUAUAAUAUAAUAUAAUCAAUUCUUUUUGUUUUCUGUCAACUUGUAACAGAAAAAUGAGAGUGGAGUUUUUUAUCAAGAGAUUGGCCGUAAUGAAGCUUGAUUAAUGGCACGAGUAGACCGAGAUGGCAAAUAUGCUUCUGAAGUGAUGCCAAUUUCUGAGAAAAUAGUAAGUCACUUGUAUACUUAAUUCUUUUGAAUUUCUUUUAUAAUGUGUGUGUGCACAUGUAUAUAUUUACAUACAUAUAUAAUGCUUGUUGUAAUAACUGUCUGGUAACAUUUUACAAGUGACAGAAGCUCAGUAAUACUUUAUCAGAACUUACUUCUUUGCAUAUAAAAAAGGUUAAAACUUGUGUGCAUGCGUGUCUGUGUGUGUAAUGAAAGAGAUGUCCAGGAGAUCAAGCGCUUCUAUGAGGUGUUGUCUUGUAAUAUUUUCUGUAGUUUCAAUUUAGACUAUAUACGGACUUGCUUUGUUUUGAAGAUUUGAGAAGGAUAUUAGUUUAUUUUAGCUAAUAUCUUAUCCUCGUAAUUGUAGAUUUAUAAAUGUUUUUGGUACAAUGAGCUGAAGAGUCAAGUUGAACAAGGAACAUUCCAAUCACAAGGGUCAAAUGACAUUCUAGGUCAAGCCCUUUAGAAGCAGCCAAAUGGAAGCAGGGUGCAAGGAGUGGGAUAAUUCAUCACCCCAUCUAUGUACUUUCCUAAGCCCAAAACUUCCACUGUUGUUCAGAUUGACAAUUAUCAACAAUCGCCUGAAACUCUUGCAAACAGAAAGGUUAGUACAGAGAAUAUUACAGGUCAUUAUUUUAUUUCUAUUUGUAUGUGUAUGUAUUACUACUAAUGGUAUAUAUUUUGAUUAUUUCAUAGGUUGAUUUCCCAUUGGAUAAGUUGACUCCAAAAUCUGUGAAGAGUAAAAUGAAGGACACUCAUACCAUAAUUUCCCAACCAACUCCUCAACAAACUCCAAAAAAAGUAGAGUGUGAAAUUACUUCAAAGCCUACACCUUGAAGAUCUCCUAAACUAACUCCUAAAGUACUAGAUGUGCAGUUCUCCUGUGAUGAGAGAGUACUAAAAAAAAGAACCAUCGGUCAUCAAACCAGUAGUAAAAAACCUCAAGCUACGUGUGAAGAAUACACGGGCAGCUGCACAAUCAAGAAAGAAUGAUAUGAGUGAAUAUAUGAACAUACUUACUAUGUCUAUUGAGAAUUCCUUGCCUCGGUUGAUCAGGAUUCAGCAUGACACAACAACUUUUAGUGAAAUUUGGAAAACACAUUUGGACAAAAUUAUUUGCUCUGAGAUCAUCGAGUUUAAGGAGGUAUUAAACUACGUCAUUAACAUAUGGAUCGAGUCCGGUAAAUCGUAGCAUAUGUUUUAUUAAACUUUGAGCUAUUUUUUUGCUUUUUUUAUUCAAACUUACUUCGUUAUAUAUGUUUGUUUUCUCUUAGAAACUUGCAUGAGGAGAUGGAGAACAAUAGAAAUACCAAGCCGGUUCAGUUUGGGCUUUUUGACAAGCUAUAUCCAAAGGCUAGUUUUAAAGAUAGGACUCAAUAUAUUUCAAAACGUUUAGGCUUGGCAGAGUUGGGACAACUCAUCAUAUUCCCAUAUAACCUUGGGUAUAAGCUUUUUCAUUUGCUAACCAUAUUCUUUAUUUAGUAGAUUAAUUAUGUAAAAACAAUUACUUGUAAUUCAUGUGUAAGAACAAUUUUUACUUUGUUUAGUGGCCACUGGGUAUUAUUCAUAAUUGAUAUGGUGAGACAUACAGUCUAUUAUCUUGAUCCCUUGGAAGGUAGUCCUGAUGAAGAGCUAAUGCAGAUUGUGAAUUAGUAAAGUUUGUUAUUUUUAUCUUUUAUCAUGUUGUUUUAUUUUUCUAUUUUAUGUUAAUUAUUUGCUAACGUUGGCUACGUCUUCAUUGUAGUGGGAUUCGAAUACAUCAGACUUUAAAGUCUGAUACAAAUGCCAAUGUUCAAUGGGUCUCCAUCAAGGUAAAAAUGAGACAAAUCUAAAUAAUUAUUGUUAAUGUACAGUAAAAAAAUUAUGAAAUUUUGAUUUUGUAGUGUCUGAGGCAACCUAGCAGCUUUGAAUGUGGUUACUACGUGAUGAAAUACAUCCAAGAUAUCGUCACAAAUGUGAACGUUCUGAAAAAUAAUGUAAGUAUUGAAAAUAGUUUUUACAAUACUGCAUUAUAUUGUUUUAAUGUAUUGUGAAAUGAAUCAGCUUAAAGACCUAUUGUGUGCUUCUUGAUAGUUAUCUUUUUACCGUAUAUUUUAUUUAUUUUAUAUAUUGUAAGUAAGGGUACUUAUAAUGGCAAGUAUGUUGCAUACUGUUGAAUAGAUUAUAUGAAUAGCCAUAGAGACAUGAAUUAGGAUUUGAGAUAUACACAAUGUACUGUAUAUCUAUGUGUGUGUGUUGCAAAGUUGGGAUAUACAAAACAAUUACAUGGGUUGCAAAGUUGUUAUUAGUGGGGAUGUGUACUUUACUUUGAUGAGGAUAAGUUAUCCUAAUUAAGGUUUUGUAUCUACAUCUAUAUUUGCAUUAAAUUGGGUAGUGUUGGGGUUCACAAGCUGCUUUAGCUAUCGAACAUUAUUGUAUAAGUUGAUUGUAAAGUAGUAAUUGAUAGAAUAAGUACAUCAACACUCAUUGAAUUGUUUUUUCAAUUACCAUGAUCGAAUGUUCAGUAUUUACCUAUAUAAUUUUUGAUAAAACAGUAACAUUGUUGGAGUUUAUUUGUUGGCGUUAAUUGUUAUCACACGAAUAUAUUUAAAUGAAUGAUAAUUAAGUAGUUUAGUCAAAGAUUUUCGGUGAAUAACUUGUUGUUUUGAAAUUAAAGUUCAAGGGAAUUGAUGAAUACACCGUUAAGGACCUCUUGUGACUUCGGGAUCAAUGGGCUACAUAUGUUGCCAAGUUAAUUAUAGCCUACAAUCACGAGGUAACAUACAAGUAAUUUAUGAUUAUUUUUCCCUUAAAAUAUACAAGACUUAUUUUUCAUGGUGUGUUGAUUGAUUUUGUGUCCUUGUAAGUGAAAAAACAAUGAAGGCAUAUGUAGACUCCAAAAUCAGUGACAUUGUUAUCUUUUUUUUUUCUUGUUGGUUAAUGUUUUCAUAAAUUAAUUUAGUACUUUAUCUUGCUCUACUACCAUCUUGGGCCGAAGUCUAACUCAGCCGCAAAAGACGUCUUGUGAGGUGAGGACUACCCAGCACUUAUAAGCUAGCACACAGCCAGGAUCCCAACCGAUGUGGGAUGAGGUGCUUAUCUUUCACACACUCAUACCCCUCGGUGAACACCUGGGCUCUGAUACCAAUCGAACAACCACUACCACCCAAUGGUGAAGCCACUCCUUGGCUAUAAUUCAGGAUAAACUGUGGUUGGUACGAUCGAUCUCAAACCCAAAAACUUUCUAAUGCACAAGAUUUUAUAAAGAGGCGUGUGUAGAGCAUACUCAUUAAAAGAGAUUGAAGUGAACUAUUAUGAGAACUUGUUGUCCUUCCUAGGAAAUAAAGGAAAAGAGAAAAAUCAAGAUAAAGUAAAGCACGCCAAAGCAAACACUUUGCUUUUACAAAAGCAAAAGCAACUAUUACAAGAUAAAGAAAAGUUUUGCUUUUACGAAAGCAAAAGCAAUUAUCACAAAGUGCCUUAAAAACUGUGCGAGGGAGAUAAGUUGUCAACAUCACUGUCUACUUCACCAAAUGGUAUCUGCCACUAUUGUCAGUUUUCAUAAUAUAGUCGGGUAGGUGAGCCUGUUGGUGUAUCUGUCACCAUUGGUGGAAUAGUACGUGUAGAGGGUGCAUAUGAGUCUGUCGGUGGGGUUGCGCUUGAGGAGGGAACAUGUGAUGCUUCAGUAGGAUGAAUGAUUGAGGUGAAUUCUUUCCAUGGGUCUUGUGAAUAUUGGAAGAGAAUAUCCAUGAAAUCAAGCUUUUAUUCUUUAAUCAGAAUUCCAGACGGAAGAAGCUUACUGGAUUAUGGUGACCUGGCAGUCGGAACGGUUAUGAGUUCAUAUUGUGGUCCAAGGGAGGUGUGCUGGAUGUCAAUAGGAGGGAACUGGACAUUGUUUAGUUCAAAGAGGUAUUGUUUCAGUGCAGAGACAAGGUUUGGGUAAUGAUUUAGGGGGAAACUAUGAGGAACGGUCUUCCAUUCAUAUGCUUGGUCCUGAGUCUAAAAGAGUUUGGUGAUAGAGUGUUGGAAAUAAGGUCGGUGGAUGAUGAAUACUGAGGUGAACUGUUCUCCUUCUUGAUCAUGUAGGAGAUUGAUGUGUUGGUGUUUAGAACAAGAUCUGGGGAGUGAGAGAGUUGAAGAAAUAGUAACAGGAGCAAGAUUAUCUGAACUAUUUGAUGAAGAUGCCAUUUUGUUUUGGAUUUUCCUUUAUUUCCUAUUCGAGACGAACAGAUCUCAUAUUUACCACUUCAUUUUUAAUAAAAAAGCAUUAUGCUCAAAGAUAUAAGAUAAUUGUACGUGGCUUGUUAUACCAGUAGUGCAAACUGAUAAAGUCCCCAUUCGGGAUGACCAUUAGAAUAUAUGUCACUGGUUUCUCGCCGAUAUAAUUAUAUUCUAGCUUGUGGGCAAACAGUUUUGUUUGGCUCUGAUAUUAGUCGGACAACCACUACCACCCAAUGGUGAAGCCACUCCUUGGCUAUAAUUCAGGAUGAACUGUGGUUGGUAGUAAGUUGGAGGUUGUUGUUGAGCGUUAGAAAAUGCAUAUUUAUAAAGGAGAAAAUCGUCAUUUUACAUUUCAAGUCUUACUAACACCUUUACUUUUAUGAAUUUAACCUUCUUUUGAUUUAAUUCCGUUUGUUUUAUUUUAAUUAAGUAUUAUUUCACAAUAAACGAGAGAUCAGAUGGCAAAACAGACAUCACUUUUGAACUCAGGACGGUCAAAAACCUUAGGAGGAGCAUAAAAGGAAAAAUAGCACUGUUCACAUGUACGGUACUAUUCACGUGUACUGUACUGUAUACGUUACUGUUCACGACACUGUUCACAUAGACGGAUGAUGACGUGGCAUUGACCGAUGAUGUGGCAUUGACUAAUGAGGUGUCACGAUCCUGUUGGGCUAAAAUUCUUAUGUACUGUUGAUGGUGAUGCGGCAGCAUAUCAAUGGACGAAAAAUCUCGCGUACGGUACAUGCAUCACACAGGAUUAUUUUCAACCAAACCGUAUUACUGUUCAUCCGGGUCAAACCGCAUUACUAUUCAUCUGGGUCAAACUGUGUUACUGUUCAUCCACGUGGUCAAACCACGUACUGUUGACUGAUGACGUGGCGCAAUCCUGAGCGUCCAAACUGUUUUUAAUCCUAUGGCCAUGAUUUACUCCAUGUAUCUAUAAAAAGGGGACCUCUCCCCCCUAAUUGGAGAUCUCUGAAUCCAUUUUUGGGAUCCAUUUUCUGUAAUUCCUUCUUCAUCUUGUAUUUUCUUCGUAUUUUAAUAAAUUCCCAUUUUGCCCCUAGUUCAAUUAUGAGUGGCUAAUUUUCUUUCAAGCUUGGGUUGAAGGUGAAGUCUCAACAUGUGUCAUGGGCUUAAUUUGGUAAAUUUAUUUUCUCUUCCCCUUUAAUUUUUGUGGAUGUUUUGACUUCUCAUCGAUAAAUAAUACUAAUCUUGUCUAGUACCGCCUUGGUUUCACCGGCUCUCUAGUAUAAGGUUAUUAUUAUUUGGCACGGUAAGCCCUUAGCACCAUAUUGAUUAGAGUGUGGUUCAUAAGGUGUGGAUUCCCCCCUCAUGAUUUAAUUGGCAUUAAUAAGGAUUAUUUAGCCCAUGAUGCAUGUUGAUACGGAUCCAGAUACCCAAGUACAUCAUUUCAAUAGAUUUCGCUUCAAUUUAUUCUCGCCAUUGCAAUUCCAAUUUUAGAAUUUAUUAUCGUCAUCUCAAUUCCAAUUUUAGGAUAAUUUAAAUCACUUCCACCACAAUUCAACCACCCAUUUACAAAAUUAAUUCUACAUAUAAUUAAAAUCCACCUCCUCGUGGGAUCGACACUCGUCACCAUUGAUCUAUACUACAAUAGAUUCUUGCGCUUGCGAGUACAUUAAAAUGUGCACAACAAGUUUUUGGCGCCGUUGCCGGGGAGGUAAGUAAUUUUAAUUCAUAGAAUUAAUUUGUGUGAAUAAUUUCUUUUAAAUUGUUGUCUUGUAUUUUUUUUAAAAAAAAAAGAAAAAAAAGUGAAUCUGCAUUUAGAGGUUAGUAUUUCUUUUCUUUCUCUAUUCUUUACAAUUAUACAAUUUAAUUUUUAAGUUAUUUUUCUUUGUAAUUUUUGUUUAUCUUAAUUUAAUUUUCUUUAUUAAGUUUUAAUUUAAUUUUUAGUUAAUUUCACAUAUUUGUUUUUGUGUAUUUUUAUAGAAAGGUUGUAAUAGCGCAAUAAGGUUAGUAUCGUAAUUUCUCUCUCUUCUUUAAUUUUAUUUGUUUUGUUCCCAUCUUUAUUUUUUUUAUUUGUUUUGCAUGCAUGGUCGUAGGUCAUUAUUAUCUAAUCUUGAACCUAUAGACCUUGAACUAGAAAAAACACUUCGCAUGCACAAGAACGUUAAAAAUAAAAUGGAUUUACAAGCACCACAGGAGAGGCCAUUUAAGGACUAUUUUAGUCCCUUAGCUAAUUUGAGCACAUCAUGCCUAAGAUACCCAAAUGUAGCUGUUAGGAGUUUUGAAUUAAAACCCAGUGUGCUAAAUUGUCUCCCAACAUUUUAUGGCCUAGAAAAUGAGGACCUAUAUAAUCAUCUGAAUGAUUUUCAUGCAAUUUGUCAAACUUUUAAAUAUGAAAAUUUUUCAGACGAUGAUAUUAAACUCAGAUUAUUCCUAUUUUCUUUAAAGGAUAGAGCUCGUUCAUGGUUAAAUACUUUACCUGCUAAUAGCAUUUCAUCAUGGGAACAAAUGGUAACAAAAUUUUUGAAUAAAUAUUUCCCAGUGCAUAAAACCAAUGCUAUUCGCAGGGAAAUCUCAGAGUUUACCCAGAGAGAGGACGAGCAGUUUUUUGAAACAUGGGAGCGAUUCAAUGGGCUACUCUUGAAGUGUCCACAUCAUGGGUACGAGAAAUGGCACCAAUGCCAAUACUUUUUGAAGGGAUUAUUGCCGAAUGUGCAAGAAUGGCUAAUGGCAACAAGUGGAGGAGAGCUAAAGUCAAAAAGUGCAUCAGAAAGAAGAUUACAGCUGGCAGAACUUGAAGAAAUUCGCAAUGAUGCAUACGAAAAUGCCAAGAUUUACAAGCAACGAAUGAAAGUCUUCCAUGAUAAGCAAAUUAUGAGAAAAUCGUUCACUCUAGGUCAGAAAGUGCUUUUAUUCAAUUCUCGCUUGCACCUAUUCCCAAGUAAGUUACGCUCUCGUUGGUCUGGCCCAUUUAUUGUUCAUACUGUUUUUCCACAUGGGGUAAUUGAAAUUAAGGACCCAAAGAAUGGUGUCACGUUUAAAGUUAAUGGUCAAAGAUUAAAGCCAUAUCUAGAAUACCAACCACAUGGAGAAGACAUCGAAAUAAAUUUGAGUGACCCACCAAAUUUGAAUUGAUUUUUUUUUUCGGUGAUUUGAUUUUUUUUCUUUCUUUAUAUUAUUUUUUUGCUAAUUGAAAUUAUUUUUGCAUAAGUGUGUUUGUUUAACUAUUAAGUUUUCUCUUAUCAUUUUUUAUCAUGAGUACCUUACUUAGACCGUUCCUUCUGAACAUUCUUAAACCACUUCAACGUGUCAAAACUCAUCUCAAAAGGCAGAUUCAAUUUUGUAAAACACAUCGUAUUUGGGCUCUAUAACCACCAGAGUUAGUAGCCUAUGUUGAGAGUUUAGAAAGCCAACUCAAAGACAUUGAGAGAAGUGUUUACGACAUCCAGUUGGAGCUUGAGGUAAAUUCAAUAAGAGGACGAUUUUAAUUUUCUUUGUGUGUUUUAAUUUGUUUUUCUGUUUGUGUGCUUUAGUUUGGUACCCCGGUGAAGUGGCGGAUAACGGUACUCCGUGACAAUCAAGUCGGUUACUUCAGUUUCCCAUAAUAACUGAUAUUCUGAGGUGAAGGUAUGGACAGAAACGAGAUUCUAGCGAAGCUUCACAAGCGAUUCCCUUCACUUCCUCAUAAUGCCCUCCUUACGAUCUAUGAAGCUUGGUCCGAACGCAUGCGAUUGCUCAUGAGUAAUAACAUACCUGCUGAUAUUUGUUGGUUAAUUGAGGCAAAAGUACGAUUGGCAGGUGAGUUACCUCCAAAUUUUAUUACAUACAUGCCUGCUUGUGGUAAAGGAAAUUAUGUAAGAAAACGACGAGCUCGAAGAAUUUCUGUUGCUUGUCAUAAGUGUGCCAGAAUGAGUUGCAAUAAAAACCCAUAUUCUUUAGGAAUGGUGUCUGAUAACAGGGAAGAUAAGACUCAAUUCAUUAGGGAUGGCUUGAAUAAGGAAUUAUUGGAUGAUAUCCUUUUGUCUCUUGAAACGCAUCCCAGUGGAUAUGUGCAAGGAGUGAUUCUCCAGUUAUGGCCAUUAUUCCAGAAAGAGCAUGCACGAUAUAGUCUUGGGAAUCUGACCAUAAACGACCAUAUUUGCCAGUUUAUAAGAAAACUGGAUAGGAAGCCUAUCCUCGACCCAUAGAGGGCGUUCAAGCCGUUUCUGGACGUAAAACCAGAGGAAGAUGUGAGCCACAGUCGCAACUACCUGUAAAUAUCCUUUCACUUUACUGUUAUUUUAUUUCACUAUUGUUUUAUUGUGUGCAUUAUUAUCUUUAAUAAUUUUAUUACUGUUUUCUUUUUUCUUAUUACUGUUUGCUUUUUCCCUUUUACUGUUUCAUUUUUUACUAGUGAGCCACGUGCUUUACGCGUUAUUUGACACUGAUAUGUUACCUCAUACACAACUGUGAUCCACUGUCACCAAGAUUCUUAACUGUGAUUUCUUUUUUGUCAAGCACUCAUAAAUUAUUUUUGAGAAGUAUCACAAUGGCAACUACUCCCAAUAGACAAUUCAAGAACAUAUGUGUGCUUUCUGGAUUUACAUAUGGCAAACAUAACGAGUUCGUUGAGGCAGCCAUAGAUCUUGGUCGAAGCAUAGCAGCGAGAAAAUUACACUUGGUGUAUGGAGGAGGUAAUCGAGGGUUAUCAAAAAUGGUCUCAGAAACAGCUUUUAUCAGAGGCAGCCAAGUGUUAGGCAUCAUCCCAAGAGUCCUAAAACCAUUGGGCAGUUCGUCUGACUCAUCAACUGAAGAAGAGUUAGUUGUAUCAGGUAUGCAAGAAAGAAUAACUAAAAUGCUUAAUCAUGCUGAUGCUUUUAAUUUCCUUCCAGGAGAUCUUGCAACAAUAGAGGCACUUAUCACACUAGCAUCUUGGGCCCAUCUGCACAUCCACCAGAAACCCAUUGGUUUGUUAAAUGUCAAUAACUUUUAUGAUGGCUUUAUCGCAUUUCUUAACCAUGCAAUAAAAAACUAUUUCAUUCCUUCUAAUGUGAAAAAACUUUUUAUUUGUGCUUACACUGCUAAUGAGCUACUUGAUCUGUUACAAGCUUAUAAACCGGAGCCAGACCCCUGGACCUUUGUGUUGGAGCGCCCAAAUAAUGAUGGUAACAGUAGCCGCAGUAAGAAGUACAAAUUAGAUUUAACUCUCCGCUUGUAAAUAUUGUUUUCUGUGUUGCACCACCCAGGUGAUGUCUUCUAAACUCUACUUCUUUCCUUUCAAACAUUGAGGACAAUGUUUCGUUCAGGUUGGGGGGAGGGAAUAGUCGACAAUUGUGGAAUUUUGGUUAAGUUUUUACUAAUGUUUUGUUGUAGAAACUAACUGUUGCUAACUUUUUGUGUUGAAGAUGGCUAAAUAUGGAGUGCAGUGCCUCUAGAAAUGCAUCUUCAUCGUUUAAAAAAAAAUUAAAAACUAAAAAAAAAUUCAGACAUUUUCUUUUUCUUUAUUAUGUUUUUAUGUUUAUUUUUCUUCUUUUUAAUUUCUCCUCUAUAAAUAUACAUUUUCCAACUUGUGAGUCGAAGAUGGCUGAAUAUGGAGUGUAGUGCCUCUAGAAACGCAUCUUCUUAAAAAAAACAAAAUAAAACCAUUUUCGUUUUCUAUCAUUUUACGUGUAACUUUUCUAAUUAAUUUUUCUGCAUCAUUUUCAUAUUUCUGCAUACAUAUUUUCCUUUCAUGUUUAGAAUAGGUUGGGGGGUAGAAUGUUGUUUAAAAAAAAAUUGUGUGAUUUGUUUUAACAUGAUUAAUUUCAAAUUUUAGUAUUUGUAUUAUCUUUGGUCUUAAGUGAUGUUACGCUAUGUUUGCUACUCUACAUGUUGAUGUCGGAGACAAAUGUGAGUUGCUUGAAGGAAUGAACAUGUCAUAAUAAGUACCAAGUGAGUUUUUGAGCCUAUUAUUUUUCUUGGAGAAUAACCCUUUUGCCCACUCUUUAUACAGCUUAGCAGUUUAUUAUUUUACACACGAUCUUUAAAUUGCUUUUGAGUUAACCCUUAAAAUAAAUUAUAAAAUAAAAAAAAAGAAAAAAAUGUGUGUUGUUACAUUGGGAGGCCCAUCUAACUAGUAGAUAUGGAUGAUUAUUUAGAGCCCUAAAAGACGAUGGAAAUGCCAUCUUUGUUCCGUUUGAGCCUUUCUAGCCAUCCCUUUUAUUAAAUAUCCAUAGUUAACCCUUUUGAGCCUUUAAAAAAAAAAAAACCUUUUCUUUGUCAACUUAUCAUCUUGACCCACUCCGAUUGGGAGUAUUACCCGAUGUCUUAUAAGUUCCAUCACCUAUUUAUAUUUGAGAAAAAUGUAAAUAAUCAUUUUGUUCAGUGAAGUUAUGCCAAAAAAAAAAACAAAAGUUGUUGUUUCAAAAGAAUAAAAAUAAAAAUAAUAGGUGAAAUCCACCUUGCAACUUUCAAAAAAAAAAAAUUCUCUGCAUUUUUCUCAAACAUACACUUUGCUUUCCUUAUUUCCCUUCUUUGUUAGCCAUGUCCCCAGCCUACGUUACGUCCUAAUAAAAGUUCUUCUUGAUUUUAGGGAACUAUAGUUUGAAGUAGAAGCUAGUUAUAUGGGCUAAAAAGAUGUAGUGAUGCAUAAUAAAAAAAAAAAGAUAAAUAAAGUGGGUUGACUAGCAUUUUUGUUUGACUUGAGAUCGUAUUAUUUCUAAGCUGAGGGCAUAUUUAUUUCAUCUUGGUGAAAGCAUGUGAUAUCACUUCUUUAUUAUUUUCUCUCUCAAUUACCAUUCAUUGGAGUGACUAUUUUUAGUGGGUUUAAUUUAUUUGUGAGAGUGUCACUACUUCCAGUGAGAUUUUGGGGUUUGACAUGUCAUUCUUAAAAGUAGAUAUAACAAAGUCUACUGGAUUAAUUCAUGUGGAUGGUUGAUGUGAGUGUGAUGUUACUUUAGACUGGAGAUAAUGCUUAUACUUUUAUUUGAUUGCUAUCAUUAAUCUGAUUGAAUAAACACGAGUGUUUCUAAAUUUAAAAAAAAAAAUCAUUUUGAAUUUGAAUUUUAUUUUCGCUUCAUUUGCUAGGGACUAGCAAUAAGCUGGUUGGGGGGUGUGUUGCAUGUUAGAAAAUGCAUAUUUAUAAAGAAGAAAACUGUCAUUUUACAUUUCAAGUCUUACUAACACCUUUACUUUUAUGAAUUUAACCUUCUUUUGACUUAAUUUCGUUUGUUUUAUUUUAAUUAAGUAUUUUAUGUAUUUUAGGGGCAUCAUAGUUAUUUCACAAUAAACGAGAGAUCAGAUGGCAAAACGGACAUCACUUUUGAACUCAGGACGGUCAAAAACCUUAGGAGGAGCAUAAAAGGAAGAAUAACACUGUUCACAUGUACGGUACUAUUCACGUGUACGGUACUGUAUACGUUACUGUUCACGACACUGUUCACAUAGACGGAAGAUGACGUGGCAUUGACCGAUGAUGUGGCAUUGACUGAUGAGGUGUCACGAUCCUGUUGAGCUAAAAUUCUUAUGUACUGUUGAUGGUGACGUGGCAACAUAUUAGUGGACGAAAAAUCUCGCGUAUGGUACAUGCAUUACACAAGAUUAUUUUCAACCAAACCGAGUUACUGUUCAUCCGGGUCAAACCGCGUUACUAUUCAUCCAGGUCAAACUGUGUUACUGUUCAUCCGCGUGGUCAAACCACGUACUGUUGACUGAUGACGUGGCGCAAUCUUGAGCGUCCAAACUGUUUUUAAUCCGAUGGCUAUGAUUUACUCCAUGUAUCUAUAAAAAUGGGACCUCUCCCCUGUUGUGCAAAUUUUAAUGUACUCGCAAGCGCACGAAUCUAUUAUAGUAUAAAUCAAUGGUGACGAGUGUCGAUCCCACGAGGAGGUGGAUUUUAAUUGUGUAGAAUUAAUUUUGUAAAUGGGUGAUUGGAUUUGUGGUGGAAAUGAUUUGGAAUAUGUUAAGACUUGAAUUAAAAUGGCAAGAAUAAAUUCUAAAAUUGGAAUAGAAAUGGCGAGAAUAAAUUGAAGAGAAAAUCUAUUAAAUUGACGUACUUGGGUAUCUGGAUCCGUAUCAACAUGCAUCAUGGGCUAAAUAAUCCGUAUUAAUGCCAAUUAAAUCAUGAGGGGGGAAUCCACACCUCAUGAACCACGCUCUAAUCAAUAUGGUGCUAAGGGCUUAUCGUGCCAAAUAAUAAUAACCUUAUACUAGAGAGCCGGUGUAACCAAGGCGGUAUCUAGACAAGAUUAUUAUUAUUUGUCGACGAGAAGUCAAAACAUCCACAAAAACUAGAGGGGAAGAGAAAAUAAAUUUACCAAAUUAAGCCCAUGACACAUGUUGAGACUUCACCUUCAACCCAAGCUUGAAAGAAAAUUAGCCACUCAUAAUUGAACUAGGGGCAAAAUAGGAAUUUAUUAAAAUACGAAGAAAAUACAAGAUGGAGAGGGAAUUACAGAAAAUGGAUCCCAAAAAUGGAUUCAGAGAUAUCAAAUUAGGGGGGAGAGGCCCCCUUUUUAUAGAUACAUGGAGUAAAUCAUGGCCAUCGGAUUAAAAACAGUUUGGACGCUCAGGAUUGCGCCACGUCAUCAGUCAACAGUCCACGGUUUGACCACGCGGAUGAACAGUAACACGGUUUGACCCGGAUGAACAGUAACGCGGUUUGGUUGAAAAUAAUCCUGUGUGAUGCAUGCACCGUACGCGAGAUUUUUCGUCCACUGAUAUGCUGCCACGUCACCAUCAACAGUACAUAAGAAUUUUAGUCCAACAGGAUCGUGACACCUCAUCAGUCAAUGCCACAUCAUCGGUCAAUGCCACGUCAUCAUCCGUCUAUGUGAACAGUGUCGUGAACAGUAACGUAUACAGUACCGUACACGUGAAUAGUACCGUACAUGUGAAUAGUGCCAUUUUUCCUUUUAUGCUCCUCUUAAGGUUUUCGACUGUCCUGAGUUCAAAAGUGAUGUCCGUUUUGCCGUCUGAUCUCUCCUUUAUUGUGAAAUGACUAUAAUGCCCCUAAAAUACAUAAAAUACU